AGGUAGCAGCGGCGGAGCUCUCGCCCGCCUGUCCAAGGGGAAGAGGAACUCUGGCCAGGAGCUGGGGCGGGUCUGUGGCUGGGCGACGCGACGUCCGCAGUGAGGGGCUAGAGCGACGCUGUGUGCUUGCGGCGAGGGACUGGAGUGGCACAGCGUGCCCACGACGAGCGGCUGGUGCGGCACGCGACAGUUUUGGGUGGGCUGUUUGCGAUAGCUGUUGGAGAAGGAGAGAUUUAGGGUGUUAUCCAUUUCACUGUGCGUGACCUAUACCAUAUAAUGUGUAUUUGUUUUAGGUUUCUCCUCUUGGAGAUAGUCUUACAAAUACAUAAACUACUUGGUAGACGAGUCUAUAGAUUGACGUGUCAUUCAUGCCAAUAUAUAGGAGCAGAUACGGAUGAGUCUUUAUAAAUGCAUGAACAUCAUAAGUUCGCUCGUCACAGGCUGUUUGUUUGAGUUUAUUUAUCAAAUUUAUCAGUUAUUCAAUAGUGUUUUUUUCUCAUAAUAAAUUAACAAACAGUAUUUUUAAUCAUAAUUUUUCAGCCAAACGUAUAGUCUAAAUUCUCAAUCACAGUCUUAUAGAAUAUAUAUUUUCCAAAAGAUUUUGGACGGAAAAGUCAGCCACUCCUGUCCUAUCAAGCUAUAGCUUAUAUUAAUGUGCGGUGUACUAUAUUUAAUUUCUUAUUAAAAUAAUUGGUGGUGUCACUGAUUGAUUUGAUUUGACUGGGUAGCUAAAAAAAUUCAGUCGGAGACUGAGCCUUGUUUAGUUUUAAAAUUUUUGGACACCCUAAAAUUUUCGUUUAUAUUUAAUAAUUAUUGUCUAAUCAUAAACUAACUAGAUUUAAAAGAUUCAUCUCGUAAAUUACAAGUAAACUAUAUAAUUAAUUAUUUUUUAAUCUAUAUUUAAUACUAUAUGUAUGUGUUGCAAAGUUCGAUGUGACGGAUAAUUUGAUUUUUUUUUUUUACAAAUUCUCUUUUUUUAACUAAACAAGGCCAAGUAAGCAAGCAACCUGGCGGGCCUACGGACGGUCUACUUUAUCUGUGUGUGUGUGUAUGUAUGGAGGAGGGAAGGACACCCUCGGAGUCGGAGGUAGACGACGACCACCACCUCCACACACCAAAUAAUUAUUAUAUUGACAGAAAUGAGAAAGCCAAGGCAGCAAUCAAACACAAAUAUCUCAUCUUCCAGGACAGGACAGUUGGCUUUAGGUGUGGCGCGCCGAGGCCGAGCAGGCAGCUACUGCUACUGCUAGUAGAGGGGAGGGGAGGGAGGGAGUAGCAAACGGGCUGUGCGGGUGGCCAUGGACCCCACCGGCGGCGGCGGCGGCGGCGGCGACACCAUUCCCCUCCUCCUGACAUCCAACAAGCAGCAGCAGGAGGAGGACUCUCUCGCGGGCGUCUCCGACUACCUUGGGCGGCCCGUGCAGCGCGGAAGCUCCGGGGGAUGGAGAUCCGCGCUCUUCGUCGUGGGUACGUACCAAUCCAAUCCAAUCCAAUCCCUGGUUCAAUCGGCCGAUCCUGCCUAAUCCAAAUCCGGCACCGGCACAGGCGUUGAGAUCGCCGGGAGCUUCGCCUACUUCGGCAUCUCGGCGAACCUGAUCACGUACCUGACGGGCCCGUUGGGGCAGUCGAACGCGUCCGCCGCGGCCUCCGUCAACGCCUGGUCGGGCACGGCCUGCCUCAUGCCCCUGCUCGGCGCCUUCCUCGCCGACGCCUACCUGGGCCGAUACCGAUCCGUCAUCAUCGCCUGCACCCUCUACGUCCUGGUAAUUACCUUGUUAUAUGUUGCCUGCCCAUUUUUUUUUUUUUUGUUUUCUGCCUGCCUGCCUGCCUGCCCCCAAUUAAGCAUUCAUGAUCCUGAUCCCUCUGCUUCUCCUUUCUUCUUUCUUUCCCUCUUCUUUUUCUUUAAGCACGCACGUGGUAAUAAACAAAGAAAGAGGGGCUCGGGCCAGGUUUAGUUCUGAAUUUUUUUUAGCAUUUUCGUUUUAUUUAGUAAUUAAUAUCUAAUCAUAUAUUAAUUAAGUUUAAAAAAUUUACAUCGUAAUUUAUAUAUAAACUAUAUAAUUAUUUUUAAUUUUUAUCUAUAUUUAAUAUUUAACGUGAUGAUGAAAAGUUUUAAGGCGCGAAACUAAACACGGCCUCGGUCAAUAUCAUCUUUUGUUUUUCCUUUUUCUGUGGGUUUGUUUUACUCGUCAGGUUUUGUUUGGUUGUUGUCGGAUUCACUCCAAUCUAUGUGUAUUGGUAUGGUGUGGAUUGGAGUGAAAUUUAGUUGGCUCCAUUCCGUAUCCUCCACCGUGUCUAUCUCAUCAAUCAUUUUUUUUAAAGAAAAAAACAGAGAGCCGCCAGACCCAGGCUGCCGCCGCAACACCACAACCGACGCGGCGCUGACUGUACUGCUACGUAGCGUAUCUGCCGUAUGCUGCUACAGUGAAAAAACUAAUUUUUUAAAAAAUUCUCGUCACUUUGAAUCUUACGGUAUAGAGUAUUUAAAUAUAGAUAAAAACAAAAAACUAAUUAAACAAUUUAUCUGUAAAUUGUGAAAUAAAUCUUUUGAGUUUACUUAGUCUAUGAUUAAAUAAUAUUUACUAAAUAAAAAUGAAAUUGCUACUGUACCUAAAAACAAAAAAAAUUGGAAAGUAAACAUAGUUCACCCCAAAAAUCCAAAACUUUUUAAAAUUCUCCGUCACAUCGAAUCUUGCAGCACAUAUAUAAAGUAAAUAUAGAUGAAAACAAAAACUAAUUACACAGUUUGCAUAUAAAUCUCGAGACGAAUCUUUUGAGUUUAGUUAGUCUAUAGUUAGAUAAUAUUUACUAAAUAAAAAUGAAAUUGCUACUGUACCUAAAAACAAAAAAUUCUAGAAAAAAACAAGGCCUGAGUAUUUUAUUCUAAAACAAGUGUUUCCACUAUUGCGUGUCCACGUGCUAGGGAUUGCAACUUUUUGAGUAUAAAAAAAAUGGUUUUGCUAGCGCCCGGACGUUCGGCGCGUGAGUGUGUCCGGACGCCGGGCCUUCCCCCCGCUCGCCUCCCAUAUGGAAAAGAAAAAAGGAAAAAUAGAUAUGCUAAGCCGAUUCUAUCCGUCCCCACGACCCUUUUCUCCACUCAUCGUGCAAGACUUGCCCCGCCUCCUACGUGCACGAGAUCUACUUGCCUCCAACCUCGCCGCCUCUCUAAGCCGAUCCCGUCCGUCCCCGCGUCCCUUUCCUCCACUCCCCAUGCAACGACUCACCCUGCCUUCCACGUGCACAGGAUUUGCCCUCCACCAACCUCGCCGGCCCCCUGCACCUCCGAUCCGCCCAUCACCAGCUCACCCCUACACCCCGCCCAGCACCAGCUGCAACAACGAAAAAACAAGCUAUUGAAACAAUGAAAGAACAUAUGAUGCAACAAAGGGGAAAAACUGCUGCAACAAACAAAAAAUCUAUUGCAAUAUCGAAAGAACAUAUAAUGAAACAAAACAAUAAUAUGAACUGCAGCAUAAAAAAAUACUACUACAACAUUCAAACACAUUCAUUGCAACAUCAGGGGGGAUCUGCAGCAACAAUGAAAAAGAGCUAUUGCAACAUCUCAAACACUGCUACUGCAACAAUCAGAAAAAUGUCUGUUGCAACAAUAAAAAAAAAUACUAUUAUAACAUUUUCAAAUCAUUCGUUGCAACAUUGAAAAAGAACAAUUCCAACAACGACGAGAUAUGACUCCCAAGGGCUCGCCGAAACCCUAGCCACCGUCGCACACGUUACAUCCAGACCCAGAGAGUGGAGAAGGAGAACGAGGAUAAGGCCAAGCUCGGUCUAGAGGGAGGAGGAGGAAGAAGAAGAAGAAGGCUGAGAUCUAGGCGAGGACCUCACCUACCUCGUGGGGACAUGGGAAAGCCGCCGUCGUUGCCCUCCCUCUCCGGAUGCAUGGAGGCCGCGGCGAAAGAGAGAGAGCAACCGGGGUAGGUGCGGGCACUAGUAUGGGGGAAGAAGACGCCGGAGUGGUUGAGAGCUAUGCCACGGUGGAGGAGGAGAACGUCGGGGUUGGUGCGGGCACCAGGCACCAUCCCGGCCAGAGAGGUGCGCAUGCGGCGCAGGCGGGGAUGGCCGUGGAGUGGCUAAGUGCACAGUCGAGAUGUAGGGUAUCCGAGCGGGGGCGGCAUAGACGGCGCAAGCAAGUAGAGUCAUAGAGUGGGCGUACGAUGCGGGCUAGGUUCGUAAAUGAGUGUGGAUGAAGAUGAGCAGUUGGGUCCGUAGAUGAGUGAAUGAGGAUCGUCCGGACGAGAAACACAUAAGGGACGCCAGUAACAUAUCAUUAGCGUAAAAAAAAAAGUCUACAUGAUGCUCCAAUCCACACGCUGGUCUGUCUGUGUGGGUUGCCAGCCUGUCCCGUCCCGCCGCCUCGUUUGCCUGCUCAUCCUCAUCCAUCCACCAAACACCAAACCAGCAGAUGGACCAGUUCCUUGCGAUUUAAAUUGCAAAUGGACUGUCCCCUGCCUCUUUGACGUGUAUGGGUCCUUUCCUGUGUGUCUAGUCUGCCCUGCUGGCUGCUGCCUGCUGCUAGUGGAGUGGAUAACCGGGACCAAGCAAGCCACGGAGGGAUCAGGAUUCAGUGACUUUGCUUCAUGAAGUCACGGUGUAACUUUCCAUCCAUCUCACACCUCCGUUCAAGAUCCAACGACUCCAAAGCAAUUUUUUAGGGAAUGCUGGCGGCGGGAGCGCUCAGCUUGAGGCGGGAGUUUCCCUCGCGCGCUGGCCGUCCCACGCGCCGCUUCACUUUCCUGGCCGCGCGGUGCGCCGUCGGUCCUGCGGGGCGCGCGGUCCGCGCCCGCGCUGCCUCAGCUGCCUGGCCGCGCGACGCGGCGGCUGUCUCGCGCGCCGCCUCGUCUGCUGGCCGUGAACUGCAGUCUGCAUUGGUUUGAAAAGAGCACGCGUUCCUGCCAAACCUGAGUGUGUCUGCAUUGGUUUUUCUUAUAUUUAUUUAUAGUUGAUGAUAUCUAGUAAAUGUAAAAAGCUUCCUGCGGCAGCUAGUUAUAGCAGUGGGCAAAUUAGUUUCUAACCCUCAUAUUUCUACAAGCUAGGAGAGAUUCCCGAUAAAAAAGGAAAUCAUUGUUAUGAAGCUGGAGGCUCUUUUUUUAAACUGGUUUAUAAAAGGAAUAGAGAUGCUGAUGUUUCUUCUGAUUUUCUCUUGUUUGUAGGGCUUUCUUUGAACAAUAAUAUUUUUUGCAACAUUCGUGUCAUCUUCCUUGAACUUGAAGGCCACUUGGUAAUCUCGCUAUUCACGUACGAAUAGUGCUUCGUUACAAAUUACAAGGUGGUGGAAAGCAUCGAUAUAGUGAGGAGUACAUGUAUGAAGUAUGACUUUAAUGCCCGGGAAAGCACGAGAUUGAAGCGAACUGAUUGGUUAGAUUCCUUGUAGGACAUAUUUAGCCGGGUUUAAGUCCUCGACACAUGUGCAUCAGUGCAUGUGCUCGACAUUAAGCUUUUAGUAUGCGUGCGUAAUUCUCAAAAAAAGAAAAAAAAAUCCCAUGACCCCUCGGUAGCCAAUACAUGUAACACGUUAUGGAGAUUGGAGAUACCCAUUGAUUCGGCUAGAUUCUCAGAUUCAAGAAGUCCGAUUUUUUAGCACGGAACGUGUAGUCCCUCUCCAUCUAACGAACAAAAUUCAAUCCUGCUCCAACUGUUUUGUAGUACCAUUUUAGCUAACCGAGCAAUCUGAACAUGCCUGAAAGUUCAGUUUUCGUGUGGUAUAUCAUAUCAGUAACGGUUUCUGUGUCGGGCACUGGGCACGGCGAGCUGGCGGCCAUCGCGGGCACGACAUGCGGCGAGUGUGCAAGGCCGUCGUGGUCUCGUGGACAUGGGAUGCGGCGAGUGCACGCUGCCAUCAUGAUGGAGGGCGGCGUGGUGAACCUGCACGGCCGGCGCUGUGUGCGUGCACGGAGGGCGCCGUGGCGAGCGGCCGGCCGGCGUGGGCACACGGCAUGGCGAGCGGGUGGCCGUCGCGGACACGGGAUGCGGCGAGCGUGCGCGGCUGCUGUGAAGGUCUGCACAGCGAGUGGGGCGGCCGGCGCCGCGACAAGCGAACAGCGGAACGGGCUGCGCUCGCGCCACUGGCACUCAGGCGACAAGCAACGGACCGCAGCGUACGUGGACCAAGCCUACUCGUUGAAUGCUGGCUCGGGUCUUGGGCCAGCAGGAGACUAGGAGAUGCCGCGCCCGGGACAUGCUGCAGACUGCAGUUCACGGCCAGCAGACGAGGCGGCGCGCGAGACAGCCGCCGCGUCGCGCGGCCAGGCAGCUGAGGCAGCGCGGGCGCGGACCGCGCGCCCCGCAGGACCGACGGCGCACCGCGCGGCCAGGAAAGUGAAGCGGCGCGUGGGACGGCCAGCGCGCGAGGGAAACUCCCGCCUCAAGCUGAGCGCUCCCGCCGCCAGCAUUCCCUAAAAAAUUGCUUUGGAGUCGUUGGAUCUUGAACGGAGGUGUGAGAUGGAUGGAAAGUUACACCGUGACUUCAUGAAGCCUAAACCCUAAACCCUAAACCCUAUGGGUAUGGCAUGCUGACGCUGUGCAUGUUCAUGGUGGCAGGGGUAUGGCAUGCUGACGCUGUCGGCGACGGUGCCGGUGCUGCGGCCGUCGCACGUGCCCUGCAGGGAGGAGGAUGAUGGUGAUGGCGGCGUCUCGUGGUCGUGGUCGUCGGCUCAUUCAUGCCAUCAUCCCGGGCCCGGGUGGGCGCAGGUGGCCUUCUUCUACGUGUCGCUGUACCUGAUCGCCAUCGCGCAGGGCGCGGACAAGCCGUGCGGGCUGGCGUUCGCGGCGGACCAGUUCGACGCGGAGCACCAGGGGGAGCGCGCGUCGCGGGGGUCCCUCUUCAACUGGUGGUUCUUCUGCAUGGCCAUAGGCAUCUCCGUGUCCGUCUCCGUGGUGGGCUACAUCCAGGAGUACGUCGGGUGGGGGCUCGGCUUCGGCGUCCCCUGCGCCGUCGUGCUCUGCGCCUUCCUCGUCUUCCUGCUGGGCACCCCGACGUACCGCCUCUACGCCCCGACGCCGGAAGCCAAGUCCCCGUUCCGCCGCCUCGCACGCGGCAUGGGGGUGCCGGUGCCGGUGCCGGUGGCGCCGCACUCUGAGCAGCAGCAGCAGCAGCAAGACGCCGAGGCCGACGCCCGGUGCGUUCUGCGCCUGCUUCCCAUCUGGGCGUCCAGCCUUGCGUACGGCGUGGUGUACGCGCAGAUCAUGACGCUCUUCAACAAGCAGGGCCGCACCCUGGACCGGCGCAUCUCCGGCCUUGAGCUGCCACCGGCCGUGCUCCAGACGCUGGGCCCCGCCAGCAUCCUGCUGUCCGUGCCUGUCUACGACCGCGCGCUGGUGCCGGCGCUGCGGUGGGCCACGGGCAACCCGUCGGGGCUCACCAUGCUGCAGCGCGUGGGCGCCGGCAUGGCCACGUCGCUGGCGGGUGUGGUGGUGGCGGCGCUGGUGGAGGCGCGGCGGCUGGCGACGGCGCGGGAGCACGGCCUGGUGGACGACCCGUCGGCGACGGUGCCCAUGACCUGGGCGUGGAUCGUGCCGCAGUACGCCAUGAUGGGGGUGGCGGACGUGCUGGCGGUGGUGGGCCUGCAAGAGCUCUUCUACGACCAGAUGCCCGACGGCCUGCGCAGCCUGGGCCUCGCGCUCUACCUCAGCGUCAUGGGCAUCGGGGGAUUCAUCAGCAGCCUGCUCAUCUCUGUCAUCGACGGCGUCACCGGCACCGGCGGCGGGGACAGCUGGUUCGCCGACAACCUCAACCGUGCGCACCUCGAUUACUUCUACUGGCUGCUGGCGGGGCUCAGCGCCGUGGAGCUCGCGCUCUUCCUCUACUUCGCGCGCUCCCACGUCUACAAGCACAACUCCGGCAGCAGCAGCAGCAGCAGGCGGCUCUCCUCCUCCUCCUCCUCCUCCUCCUCCUCCUCCACGCUUGGGAAAGAGAAAUACUCCUCCUGCUAGCACUAGCACUAGUGGAGGGAUCGAUAGAUUCUCGAUCGGCACUAUUUUAUUACUCUUGUGUUGAUUGAUGACGAAAUUAGCCUUCUUCUGUUGUUGUAUACUGUACUUUGUUCUUGUAAACAAAAGCAAACUCAGUUGUCGGGGCAAAAAUGGACCCUAGUCAAAUUCAAAUUCAAAUCCACGUUCUCGCUUUGGAAGAGGUGGUGAUGACAGAUUAUUCCGAGGCCUUGAAUAGUUCACGAAAAGAAUAAUUUUUUUUUUGAUAUUAUAGCAUAUUCGUAACUAUAGCAAUUAGUGUCUAACUAUAAACUAAUUAGAUUUAAAAGAUUCGUCUCGCGACAUACAUGUAAAUUGCGCAAUUAGUUUUUUUUAAUCUACAUUUAAUACUCUAUGCAUGUGUCAAACAUUUAAUGUGAUGCGGUAAUUUUUUUUUGAGUCCUUGGGUGGAAACUAAACAUGACCUAUGUAUGAGUUGGAUUGUUUUUCUAUGCCAGACUAUAAUGAUGGAUGAAUGAUUGGUAUCAUCUAGAUGGAUGCAUUGUGUAUACAUAAUUAAUAAGAUGCAUGAUUUUUAGUGGAUUGUAUUGAAUUGAAUUCCAUCAGGUUGUGUGCGGUGGAGUUGUUGAUACUCCGCUCCGAUCCAACCAGAUGGCUUUCUUUUUUGUGUGUAAACAACCAGAUGGCUAAUAAGGGGGGUGUUUGGUUGAAGGUUUAAAAUUUCGUUUUAUUUAACAAUUAUAUGUUGCUCGUUCUCGCGUCAGGUCUGGUGGACCGUUCUCUCCGUCCUUGGAGCCGAUGCGUCCCCGGUUGGCGAUGUGACCAUUCUUGUAUGGUGGGACCGUUGGAGAGCGCGCUGGCACGGUGAACGUCAGAAAGGAGCCGACACCCUCUUCGCGUUAGUAGCAUGGGAGAUUUGGAAGGAGCGCAACGCCCGGUGCUUUCGUCACACAUCCUCCAACAUUACCCAGCUGCUGUCCAUCAUCAGGGCCAACGCCGAUCUCUGGAUCCAAGGAGGAGCCCGGCACCUCGGUUGUUUGAUUCGCGAGUAGUCCGCGUUCCUUGCGAGUGGGGGGGGGAGGAGAUUUGUACUGUACGAUGCUGUUAAACCACCCUCCACCCUUGCCGUCUGUACUCAGCGCCAAAGCGCACUUGUAAACACCCUUUCUACUUAAUACAAUGAUAUGCAAACCUUUUGCGUAUUCGAGAAAAAAAAAUAGACUAAUUAGUAUCCUCUAGCCAUGACAAUUAGUGGUUAAUUAUGACUCAAAGGAUUAAUCUCGUAAAUUAUAUUCUAGUUAUGUUUUUAGUUUUGUAAAUAUAUAUAUUUAGCACUUCAUGCAUACGUCCAAAUAUUUGAUAGGAAAAGAGUUAAAAAAAUCAUCCCGAACCAAACGGGACUUAAGCAAAGACAGCAAGCGAAGCAACAAAUCAGCGAUGGGACCAUGCAAAUUUCAUGUGUCAUCAUCUCAUCGAUUAGAUUAGAUAACUUGGCAAGACAAGGCAAGGCGCUUCUUGCUUGCUGCGGCUGCGGGCGGCCAAAGGUGUGGCAUCAAAAUUUGAUCCGCCCCAGGGAAACUUUCUAUACUCCCAUAAUUCUAUCCAUUGAUAAGCUUAAGCAAACAAGAUACGGAGUAAAUGUUAACAAGUGGUAAAAAGAAAAAAAAAAGAGGAACAUCUGGAUGAUAGCACUAGUAGAUCUGUUGAUGAUUUUUUUUUUUGACAACCUGUAGAUGGAUGUUAACACGGUUAUUACUUAUUACACACACUUCAUCAACUGAACCUAAGAGCAUAUCCGGACGGACACCUGCAACUGCAACCAUGGGGAACAUGCUCAAAUUUUUUUUUUUGGGUGAUGACAAUGCAGCUCAACAGAACGGAACGGAUAUCCAUAUCCAUCCUCCCCCUCGCCAAGCCAACUCUCUCCUCAGUCCUCCCCCUGGUUUGCCUGCCCUGUCUUGCCCAGUUGCCCAGUUGCCCCUGUCGGAAUCAGUCCAGGUUCAGGUCGGCAGUGGGCAGUGGUUCAGGUCGAGGCCUCGACGACGAAUCGCGCUGCGUCCCCUCCUCCCCGCCUGCUUCAUCAUGGAAGCCGACGUCCCCAUUGCCGCUGCUACCCCCAGGUCCGCAUCCGCACCAAUCCCCUUUCCCGAGCUCCCUUUGUUUUUCUCCUCUUCGCCGUCACCUGCCUGCUCAAAACCUGUCAAAGAUCCCUUCUUUCCUUGCAACUACUACUAGUUGUUCUCCCUUUAGUAGGAGUAUACCGUCUAGGUGCUCUCCCUUCAGUGCUCGAUUGAUCGAGAACGAACAAGGUAGGAUGAUCCUGCCAUGAUUGGGCACCGCCGCCCUAGCGAGGCGCGAUCCUUGUUCUGUCCUAACAUUGGGACAUUCUUGGCGAUUAGAGAUUUCUAACUCAUGACCAUAUCAUGUGAAUUGCUUCUUUCGUCAUAACUCAAUUUCCUAGGGUCUAGGCCUCUAGGGAAGACCACUGACCGGAUGUGUGCUUGUCUUGUUUCAUAACCACAAGCCGGGGAAGCUUCUCUCUGGAACUUACUUUUUUAAGAUUGGCUCUUUGCCAUGCCAAUUGUGGACAUUAAAACAGAACCAAUAGUUUUAGUUCCUUCUACUAAAUAAUAAAGGGUUCCCAAUAAUAAAUGUUACACAUCUCCAGCUUCUACUCACAAUUCCUGCCAGUUUUCACAUACUGUUAAGGAAUAAAGUUCCAAAAGGAUCACAGCAAUGUUGGUUUCAGUUGCCACGAAUGGUACCUGAUUUGUUGCUUUGUGAUCUGCAGGUACGGAGCAAGCCUAAGCCAAUAGCUGCACCCGGAGACACAGAUUUGGAGUAUUGAGCUGGCUCUCUGUUUUGUCGGUUGUGUGCUUCUACUUCAUAGAAAAGAGCUGCAUUUUCUUCUUAGUGCUUUGGAUGCUGGCCAGAUGAAGAGUAGUAGAUUUCUGUUCCUUUGUGCAAUGUUCUGUCUUAUGGCUCGGCUGGGAGCUGCCAAUGUCGUGCUAAUGGGGAAUAAUCUGACCCUGUCCUUCGAUGACAUUGAGGCGAGCUUUUGUAAGUCCUGCACUCCUUACAACCAUUUAAUCUUGUCAGGUCACCAGCUGCUACCAUCAGAUGCCACUUGAUUUAAAACAUUUUGUUUGCAUGGCUUGCGGAUGUGAUCAAUUUUGGUGUUAUGUUUGGUUUAUUAUUGGCUACACUGUGUACCUGCUAUUUUAUGGUGAUGUGUGAGUGCAUCACACUGCCUACUACUGUGCUCUCGUGGCUAGUUCUCUGACUAACAUUAAGCUUGGUUGUAUGCUUCUGAUGAUUGUGUAUGCUUAUUCCUUUUCACUUUCAUGAUUUUUCUUACUGAAGGAUUUAAACAUGCCUUUUUGAUUGUAUUGCAGCUCCAGGAGUGAAAGGGUCUGGAGUCAGUGGAGUAGUUUAUGCUUCUGAACCUUUGAAUGCCUGCAGCCCAUUAACAAUCAAAACAGUCAAUGGCCCUCCAUCUCCCUUUGCGUUAAUUAUAAGAGGCGGGUGCACAUUUGAUGAGAAAGUAAAAAAUGCACAGGAUGCUGGAUUCAAAGCUGCAAUCGUAUACGACAAUAAAAAUAGUGGGGUCCUGGUUUCAAGUAAUUUACCUUGUUACUCGCACUUGCUCCUUAUCCAUUGUUUUCUUAAUGCCACUUGCGUAGCUGCAUGAUGCCCUUUAUCUAUAGCACUGUGAAGUAGAAUAGAUGCCUUUUGCUAUCACCUCUCCAUGCUUACCCGUAGAUAGCUAUGCACUAACUAGAGACAAGAUUGGUGCACAAGCAAAUGCUCUUGCAAAAUGAGUCGAACGUUGAUAUUUAUGGUGACACAAUGCUCUAAAUACAACAAAAAUUAACUGAUAACUGGAUUCAAUUUCAUUCCACUAAUUUGUAUUGGCAAUUGAUCCUGUAUUACCUUCUCUGUCUAACUAGACAAAAAAUGUUACAGUGGCUGGAAGCUCAAGUGGCAUUCAUAUAUAUGCCGUGUUCGUUUCAAAGGCCUCGGGAGAGGUGUUGAAGAAAUUCUCAGGCAAUAUGGAUGUAGAGGUGUGGAUACUACCUACUUUUGAGAACUCAGCCUGGUCGAUCAUGGCAAUCUCAUUCGUAUCGCUACUUGCCAUGUGUGCUGUACUGGGUACGUGUUUCUUUGUGAGAAGGCAUCGAAUAAGGAGGGAGCACCCUAGAAUCGCAGAAGAUCGAGAAUUCCAUGGAAUGAGCAGUCAGUUAGUUAAGGCUAUUCCAAGUCUUAUUUUUACAAAAGUGCAAGAAGAUAACUGCACAUCUUCAAUGUGUGCCAUUUGCUUGGCAGACUACAAUGUCGGAGAAAAGCUAAGAGUGCUGCCUUGCCGUCACAGUAUGUUUGCUCCACUUCUAAUACCCUGUUUUUUUGGCAUACAUGCUACUACAGUAGCAUGAUUGUUUAGAACUCUAACUCGUCAAAUAGAUCUGCUGUACUGUAUCUUUCAGUGUUUGGAUUUGGGUGCAAGAUCUUUAUGAAACCCAACAAGAACUAGACAAACCAAAACAAAAUGCUAAAAUGUAACAAAAUUAUAUAUGCCAAAUUCAUUUAGACGCCUUAAUCUUACUGGUGUCUGGUGUGGGAGCGCGACACAUCCGGGUUAUAAUCAUUAGGUAUAGAGAGCAUUUCAGAUUUCACUUAUUUAUUACUGAAUGGAAGGCAAGUGUUUAGUUGUUUUUUGAUCCUUAGGCUUAGGCAUCGAGAGCAGUGCAAAUUUAAUUGAUAAGGGGAAAGACAAGUCAUUUAUAAAAUCAGUAAUGCAAUGUAAAGUAGCAAACUGAUAACUUGUCUUAUGCCUUGCAGAGUUUCAUGCAGCUUGUGUGGACUUGUGGCUGACUUCUUGGCGAACAUUCUGUCCUAUAUGCAAGAGAGAUGCAAGGAGUGGAGCAUCAGAAGUUGUUGCGACAGAGGCUACCCCCUUGCUUUCUUCUGCUGCUCGGUUACCUUCAUUCCGGUCGAGUGUGGCAGCAUCCCCUCCAAGGCCAAUAAGCCGGCAUCCUUCAUCGCACUCGGUUUCUCGUGCUUACUCUGUUUCUAGUACCCCCAAUUCUCCCAACCCCUUUAUAUCUUCUCACAUAAGCUCACCUGGCAUCCGUGCAAGCAGAAGCAUCACAGACCUUGGAAAUAUAUCAUCUCUCCAUCCUCGCAUCUCACAUUUGUCAUCGACGCACUCCCUGGUUGGCAGCCACUUGUCUCCACCAAUCAGUAUAAGGUAUUGGUCGUCCCAUGUGGCGCAUUCAGGGUAUGGAUCACCCAGUCCACACGUGAGUUCAUCCUACAUCUCCAAUUCUGGGUAUGGUUCUUCAAGCUACUGCUAUCUGGGACUGGGAGGCUCCAGCCACAGCCAGCAUGGGACAUACCUAAGGCGCUGUGGAGAAUCGGGGCCAAGCCUGUGUACCAUGGUGCCGCAGCAGUUGCAGUGGGAGACUAAUGUAGCAGCAGGUGCGUCGUCAGCAAAGUCCCUGCGGCAGUCCUCCUACCUGAGACACUGUGGCGAUUCAGACGCCAGUUUGUCUGACAUGACGUCAGCCCAGUCGUUGCCGAGGUGCUGAGGGGGCUCUGGAUUUGUGAUUUGUGCAUUACACAGUGAGGAGUGUGUGACAUAACAUUACUACAUUGGCUGUGGUGUGGAGAGAAACAUGCAUAGCAAUAGAACAUACACAUAGUAGCACAUAGUAGGGUUUUGUUCUCUUGUUUCUGAGAUGAGAUGUGUUCUUGUGCUCGCGAUGCGUACAUAUGGCAAGUAACAUGCAUGAGGGAAUAAUAUUUAUUUGGUUGUCGUAUGGAAUGGAAUGGAAGGUUGUAGGGUGAAUUUAAGUUUGGUUUGUUUGAUUUGGUCGGGAAAAUGAGUCGACCCCUUGACUUGAGAGAGAGAUGGCUGAUGCCCAAUGCAAGAACUCGUUUGCUGAUCGAUCAAGCCUGUUUUGGGCUUUUGGCAAAAGAGAGCCUGCUUUGCUUUAACCCUGUUUGCUACCAAGUCUAUGGCCUUGUUUAGUUCCGAAAAGAUUUCAGAUUUCGGCACUGUAGCAAUUUCGUUUGUUUGUGAUAAAUAUUAUUUAAUUAUGGACUAACUAGGAUCAAAAGAUUCGUCUCGCGAUUUUCAGCUAAACUGUGUAAUUAGUUUUUGCUUUCGUUUAUAUUUAAUGCUUCAUACAUGUGUCACAAGAUUCGAUGUGACGGGGAAUCUUGAAAACUUUUUGCUUUUCGGGGUCAACUAAACAAGGCGAUACUAUAGGGUGGUAGAGACAGAGAGGUUCUCCUUUUUGGUCCAUCUUGUCUCUUUUGGCUUUUUUUUUCUCUCAUCUCGUGCACCGCCACCGCAGCAGCAGUGGAAAAUUAAAGGUGAAAAAGGUGAGGAGGAGGCAUCGCCGCACAGGCACAGGCACAGGCCCAUGCGUGUGCUCUCAUUUUCAUUUCUCAUCAUCCCAAUCCCAACUCGGCCUUUCUAUGUGUACCAUGCUAUGCGCGCCGGCCAAAGGAAUCAAGGCGUGCUUGUUUCUUUCCAAACAUGCCACUAUCACUAUGCCAGGAUUCAUCAAGUUCAUUCAUAAUACUACCACCACUCUACAGUGGAGUAUCCGGCAGCUCAAAGAACCACUCUGAUGUCUUCGCCAUCAAAUGAAGUUGUUCAUCAUUCUUAUCUGUAUGUCACAAAGAACAUCAGUUAAUUCAGUGUCACAGAACAUCAGCAACCGAGUACUCCCUCCGUACCUUACUUAUCAGAACAUUCAUUAUUAGCAGCAUCAAAUCAAAUCAAAUCAAAUCAUGGCGUGUCAAUGCCUGGGAUUUGCAGCAUGCCGAAAAGAGAGCCUGUCCUGUUCAGUCUGCAUGUCUGUAAUUAACAUUAACCAUACCCAUCUCAUCCCUUAAGACAGACAUACAGUACAGGCUCUUUUCAGACUUUUGGCCCCCAGAACCAAGGAGUCAGAACCAAGCACCAUCGGACAAGAACCAGGGAAUCAGGGAUCCAAGUCACAGUCACCACCAAUUUCUACUAUUUUUUCAGUGAUCUCACCUCAUCCUCGCGGACGGGAUGAACCAUGAUGGGUUGCGGCCUUAGUUAGUUUGCGAAAAUUUUUAGUUUGACUACUCUAGCACUUUUAUUUGUAUUUGGUAAUUAUUAUUUAACCAUAAAUUAACUAGGCUUAAAAGACUUGUUUCGCAAAUUACAACUAAACUGUACAAUUAGUUAUUUUAUCUAUAUUUAGUACUUUAUGUAUGUACCACAAGAUUCGAUAUGAUAGAGAAUUUUAAAAAAAAAAUUAAAACUGAACAAGGUUGCAUUGGGUUCAGCAAGGGGUGUUUGGUUGAGGGUGGUAAAAUUUAAGAGACACUGUAGCAUUUUCAUUUUAUUUGAACUAAUUAGACUCAAAAGAUUCGUCUCGCAAAUUAUCCCCUAGAUGUUAUUUUAGUUUUGCAAAUAGUAUAUAUUUAAUACUUCAUGCAUGUGUCCAAACAUUCGAUGUAAUGAUGACAAAAAAAAAACUUGCAACCACAGGCCCUAUAGAGAAUUGAGGAUAUGUUGUUGUUGUGUCACUUCUCGGUCGCCUCCAUCACUUUCUAUUGGGCAGUCCCAAUGGUGGGCAUCUAAUGGUCUAAGUGCUAUGCUUAUAUAAUUGCAGAUGUAGGUGAUAUGGGUGUCAUGAUACGAGUAUCCCAUAGUCUUAACUUUGUAGGAGGAACCAUAUGCAAAUCCCAAAUAUCUAAAUGGAAGACCUGACCAUGUCCAUCCUCAACCAUGUGCUAUUGAGCCAUGUGAAGACAUGGAGGCUAAGCAUAUGUGAACCUAAGAUUUUUCCUUACACCAUGAGUUAAAUAUUUGGUCUCAAAUAGCCAAAUUCGUCCUAAAGAAGCCGGACUGUGACAAUCCUUGGCCACUCAAAGUUGUAUCUAUAUGUGAUUUUGUUGCGGCAUAGGUAGAAAGGAGGAGAGGAGGGGAGGAUAUACAAUAUAGAAGGAGGGAUGAUGAAGGUGCACAACUUGUCGUUGCCUAGUGGUAAGAAUGGCCUAGACGAAUUGAAGGUGGUUCCUUUAGUUGGGUCUAAACCUCCCCUUACCCUGAUUCAUUUGAAGCUCUAUUAUUGUCGUAGGUUGUCGCGCGGUCGACAAAUAAUGGUUGUAUUAUGAGGGCGGGGGCACUGAAAUGUUUAGCCAUGGAGGAUGAAAUAAUAAUGAUAACAUUAGAUGUGAUGGUAGUAAUGACACUUGAGAGUAAGAGUUGGUGGUGGUGAAGAGAGGAGAAUAUAAGAUGUUGGAUACUAGAAGAGUAGAAGAGACACAGGGAAGGAAAUUAACGUUGUUAUCUUUUAUCCUAUACCAUACCUAUUUAACUUGAUGAGUAAUAAAUACACUUAUCACCAUCAUAAAAGAUUAAUGACGAGUGUUUAUUUUCGAAAAAAUUUAUACAACGUGCUUGAGUCUCAACCACAAGCGAAAAGCAUAGCAACACAUGUCAACGUAUGGUUGGACUGUGUGCGUCUUCUUCCUCCUCUCGUUCAUCUCCCUAGCUCGUCGUGUUCUUCUUCUUCUUCUUCUUCCCAAUGAUCAGAGUCAGGAAAUUUGGGAGGGGUGGAGAGGUCUUCUAGGUGGUUCUCCAUACCCAACGAUCUUAGAAAGGAGAGAGGCCGACAGUGAAGGUGGUUUGAUGGGUGAUGAGCAAGGUGACGGAGGCACCACCCAAAGUGGGUAGUGUUUGGAUAUUUGGUGGGCACGGCAGGUGGCGGUGACAACUAACUACAAAAUAGUAGGGAAGAAUGGUGCUUUGACGACGAUAGUGGGACGUGGGGUGGUGAAGUCAUUGGCAGAAAGGGUGGUGACUAAAGUGGCGACGAUGGAGCAACAUAAUAUGAAAGGAAAGAGAAUGAAGAAUAUGAGGCUAUGACGCAAUGAUAGUAGGGCCUUGUUUACUUCCGAAAAGUGAAAAUUUUUCGGAACUGUAGCACUUUCGUUUGUUUGUGAUAAAUAUUAUCCAAUCAUAGACUAACUAGAAUCAAAAGAUCCGUCUCGUGAUUUACAGCUAAACAGUGUAAUUAGUUUUUGUUUUCAUCUAUAUUUAAUGUUUCAUGCAUGUGCCACAAAAUUCGAUGUGACAGGGAAUCUUGAAAACUUUUUGGUUUUUAUGAUGAGAGUUGAGACGAAGCUUGAGAAAAACGAAGAGCGUGGAUUGUAAAGUCAUACGUCACUCCUUUCCUAACACUUUAGGAAUAAGACCCCGUAACCUGAUUUAUAUAAUUUUUUUUAACAAAUAUUUAAACUAUAUUCAUCAAUUUUUGUAAUGUAUAUAAUACCAAACAAGAAGGGAAAAAAAUCUAAGUGCGACGAACACGAGAGGAAGUUGAACUAGUUGCUGAGCCGAAGAAGCAAAAAUCCUAUCAAUAUAGCCACAGAACGACAUUAUUGUCUUGCGCGUCCACCCCUGCGCUUUUCAGUAGCUUGGGUUUGGAUUCGGACUUCCUGAGCUCCGCCGAUUCCUUCCUCCUUCACCUCCUGUCCUCCCCCAGCCGCCGCCGCCGCCGCUGCCUCAUCUCAUCCCCAUCGCCCACCCCCCGCUCCGUCCCCCGGGGAUCGUCGAUGGCGGCGCCGGCGAUAUGGCAGCCGCAGGAGCAGGGGCUCCACGAGAUCUGCACCCUCCUGGAGGCGCACAUCUCCCCCAACUCCGACCAGGCCCGCAUCUGGCAGCAGCUGCAGCAGUACAGCCAGUUCCCCGACUUCAACAACUACCUAGUCUUCAUCCUGGCCCGCGGAGAGGUGAGCCUUCCUUUCCUCCUAGUGUCACCUUCACCUCAAUCGCUCGCUGGCUUAUUCCGAUCGCCACGCCGUCAGCAAAGCCUAGGGUUUUCUCCGAUGCUACUAGAGAUUUGAAGCUUGUUGUUUGACUCCAUAGACUCCUAGCCCUAGGUCGCCACUGGAGUUUAGCGCUUGGAUCGCACGUUCUAACCUCUAAUCCAAAUCGAUAUUGAUAUCCUGGUGUUUUAGUGGAAAUGAUAACGUACGUUGUGUGUAUGUGUACACAAAGGCGGAAAACAUGCGCUGGCAAUCAAGCUAAAAUUUCAGUGCCAACGUAAGGCUACCUAUAUAUGUAGCAUUUCAGUUUCAUUCGGUGGUAAUUUGAAUUGUCGUGUUGUGGCGUCGGAGGUUCAAGUAGGGCUUAGCCUACGUGGAUAUGUGCCGAUGCACAGUAAGAGAUGAGAGCUUGUUUCCAUGUUAAUCUUUUAUGUCUGUCCUACAUGCCGCUGCAUCAUCGCUUAUUGUGGUAAUGAUUUCUCAAAUUGCCCAGAAUAUUUAAACUGCAAAUCAUGUGACAUUUUUAAAAUCCUCGAGCAGUCAUGUGUGCAUGCCAAAAUCUUGCUCAGAUGGCUAGUUAUUUGGCCUACUUGAGUUCUAGUAGUGUUUGAGUGUCGAUCGGUGAUGCUCCCAUGGAGAUCUAAGUAACCACUGGAGGUGAGUGGCCGCUUGCUCCCACUAUCUAAAACAUUUUCCUUGUAACUUACUUAGAGAUACAGAUGACAGGAAAUAUCUAUACUUUUAUGCUUUGAGGGGUUGGAGGGAGACCACAGCAGAAACCAUAUGGUUGCGUUGGCGUGAUCUAAACUCUGGAAUGAUGACGAAAAAAAAACACAUUCAAAGUGACUGCUACUUACUUUAACUUUCUGCCCACGGUUUGUAUUUUGUUUAUUACCGAAUUUAGUUUCACGUGUGAUCGGCAAAAAUAAGAAACAGUGAUAAACAAUGAAUUGAAUCAAUGAGGGUGUCAAUUAAUCAUGGAGUUAAUGUGGGAUGAAAAUUGUGGAUUGUGUGCUUCCCUUGUGUUCUUUUCCACACUUAUUCGUUCUAAAACCUUUUCGACAUUGGGAUGUCUUUUACAGGUAGACAUGCAUGUAGAUGUAGUUCAUAAAUUAUCAAACUUGUUAUGGAGCAAAAUUCUCUUUUGAUGACUAUGCUUGUAGGUCCAGAUAUUUUUUCUUCGGCAUAUCUGACAUCUGGUGUUUGUACCAGGGGAAAUCUAUUGAAGUUAGACAGGCAGCUGGUCUACUACUGAAAAACAAUUUGCGAACGACUUUCAGUUCCAUGCCACCUCCGUUCCAGCAUUAUGUUAAGUCUGAGCUGUUACCAUGUAUAGGGGCAACCAAUAGGGCAAUUAGAUCCACAGUUGGAACAGUGAUCAGUGUACUUUUCCAAAUUGUACGAGUUGCUGGAUGGAUCGAGUUAUUUCAGGCACUCCAUAAGUGUUUGGAUAGUAAUGACCUGGAUCACAUGGAAGGUGCCAUGGAUGCGAUAUACAAGGUAAUGUGCACUCCUGUCAUACUAGGGGUUCCAUGCAUUAAACCAGCAUGAUGUAGUGUAUCUUACAAUUUGCGUUCUCAAAAUCUCUUUCUGAUGACAGAUCUGUGAGGAUGUCCCUGAAGAGCUCGAUGUUGAUGUUCCUGGUUUGUCUGAACGACCGAUCAAUGUGUUUAUGCCGAGAAUACUGCAGGUCUAUAUCCAACAUCCAGAAAUAGCCAAUUACAUACCUACGCGAUUGACACUUUGACAUCCUCUCUGUAAAUGGUCAUAUUUAUGUCUUCAUACACCAAUUGCCUAUAAUUCAGCUAUGCAUGCAUUUGUGGUAGCAUGUAGAUGCUUGAACAGUCUGAUUUAACAUAUUUAUGGGGUUUCAUUCUGAUACAUGCUGAUUUUCUUUUUCUUCCUUCAGUUUUUCCAGUCACCACAUCCAACUUUGAGAAAACUAUCGUUGGGUUGCGUAAAUCAGUACAUAGUAGUGAUGCCAUCGGUAAGAGUCCUAACCCCAUCUUCAGCUUAUCUUUCUCAACGCUCUUGACUCACUGUUAGAUUUUCACAGGCACUCUACAUGUCUAUGGAUCAGUACAUUCAGGGAUUAUUCAACCUUGCAAAGGAUGCUUCAGCAGAUGUUCGGAAACUGGUAUUCACCAUAGAUAAUUACUUAUCGUACUAACUUAUUUGUUAUAAUGAAAUUGCACAUUGUGGUGUGCUACUUAUUUGCAAGAGAAUAAGAUUCAAAUGCAUACAAAUGUAAUUAUUUCAUAAUUAAAGCAGGAUUUAUUUAUUUUCUAGGCUUAUAGCUGAUUUGUCAGCAAGCAAAAUGCCAGUAAUGAUUGUUCAAUGGAACAUAUCAACUUGCUAAUUUUCCUUGUUUAUUUGAUAGGUUUGUUCAGCCUGGGUUCAGCUCAUUGAAGUUCGCCCAUCAAUUCUGGAGGUGUGUUAUGUUUGCUGUCUAUUAGACUUUUUUCCUGCUCUCACCUAAUAUGUAUUAGUGAUGCAAUGUAACUAUGCUCCAAACUUCUCCAUUUUCCUAUUUUCCCACAAUUUUUCUGAUGAUGUACACAAUUUUUGCCUUGACUCGAAUUAGUUUGCCUUUGACAUACUGGAUCUGACAUUGGAUAUUGAAACUGCAGCCACAUCUUAAAAAUGUUACUGAAUUGAUCCUGCAAGCUAAUAAAGAUUCAGAUGAUGAAGUCGCCCUGGAAGCUUGCGAGUUCUGGUAUGUUUUCAGUGAGUGAGUGUAAUGAGGGCUGCACAAAGAAUGCACCAAUCCUUUAAAAAAAUAUAGAAUACCCCUAGUAAUAUAAAUUAACUAUCUGAAUCUGAGUUAUAUUGGUAGUACUAAUGGGGCACAUACUGUGAUGGACACUUUUACAACAAUUUAAUUAACUGUUGGUUCUAACUUAUGAAGUUCACAAAUUGUUUUUGCUCAAAUCCAAAACUAAGUCUGAAUAACUAACUAUAUUGCUAGGAAUCGGAAGCCUAUUAUUCUCACUUUUAAACUGUUAAAUAUUUCAGGUCUGCAUACUGUGAUGUGAGUAUGCCACCUGAAGGUUUACGGGAGUUCUUGCCACGCUUAAUCCCGGUAUAUGUCUUUCUUGUACUCCAAAUUAGUGCAGCUGUAUCCUUGGCGCUGGAUAUAAUUUCUUACAUUCCAAUUUUUUCCUAGACUUUGUUGUCGAACAUGGUAUAUGCGGAUGAUGAUGAGUCUCUUGAUGAUGCUGAGGUGUGGUAAACUUUUAAUAUCUUUCAUGUUUGAUCCAGUGGGUCAUCAGUGUCAAAUCUUAUUCUGAUAAAUAUUAUUUAUACAUUUUAUUUCAGGAAGAUGAAUCCUUUCCAGACAGGGACCAGGUUGGUUUUAUUCUUUUUGAGCAAUAUUCAUAACCAAUAAUGGCCUAAUUUUAUGAAUGGCUCCAUCUGUGGCCAUCCAUCGUAGCGGUUAGUCCUGCGUCGGCAGAAUGAAGUGAUCACAUUAUAGCUUUAGCUCAUUUCAGGACUAUCAGUGAGAUCUAAUUUUUGGGCGGGGGUGGAUUGGUGCAUCAGCAAUGCAUUGACCAAGCUGAUUCUAUUUCAGGAUUUCUUUUUUGUUUUGCUGUAUUUUACCUAAUAACUGUUGGCUAGCUUUGUCACUCAUGCGUGUAUCACCACACCUCUCACUCACACACACAUGCUGGAGGUUGAAGUAGAGGAGGUCAGAGCACGCACACACAUGAACAUACAUGCGUGAAUGAGCUGCUGAACUACUCUGGCUGCAGCUAGCCACUUCCUUCAUAUAGAAGCAAAGAUUACUGAAGUCAAACUAAGGGCCAUACUGAUACUGCCCACUAAUUACUGUAGCCAUAUUAUGUACUAUAUGUCACUAUAGCCAUACACCCAACUACUGCUGUCCCAUUGACAGGAAAGGGAGAGAGCAGUCACUAUUCCUAUGCUCCUGUGACAAAAGAAAGAUGUGAGAGCAGUAGAUUAUCUAACAACAACAGGAAAGCUUAACCUUGCAGCCGUAUACUACUGAAUUGUAGACACACAUUGCAUAUUGCAGCUUUGUCUGUAGUUAAUUCUUUUGGAAGUCAGUUAACACUAGCAAUAUAAAGAAUAAUGUGAGCCUCUUCCAACAUUUAUGUACACAAUGUGUAACAGGAUUUGAAGCCCCGCUUCCAUGCCUCUCGAUUGCAUGGAUCAGAAACUGGAGAUGACGAUGUGAGUUUAGAAUUUGUUUUUGUUAAGCCAUUUGGUUUUGAUGGCUUUUGCCAUCCCUUUACUACCUCAUCUAUGUAAAGUGUUCAAAAAAUUACUGGUGAUUCGAACAGGAUGAUGAUGCUGUAAAUGUCUGGAACCUGCGGAAGUGUAGUGCUGCUGGGUUGGAUGUUCUCUCUAAUGUGUUUGGUGACAGCAUCCUUCCAACUUUAAUGCCAUUGAUUGAGGUAACUUGUACUUCUGAUAGUUUAGUAGUGGUGCUUUUUGUUGAAAAAGUUUCUCAAAUGGCCUGAACUCUAGCUUUUGCAUGUCUCAUGGAAAAGCAUUGUGGGUUUAUGAUUUCCUUAUUAUAGCCCUAUUGUUCAGGCUCUGUGUUUAGUUGAAAACAAUGUGUAACUCCUCAAUAGGCACUGAAAAUUGUUAUUGUUAGUACUAGUCGAAUAGCAUGACUUGAAAAAACCCUAAAAGCCAUUCCUGAAGUUGCGUAGUCAUCAAAAGUGCAAAAGUAAUUCAUAAUGUAAAACUAUUAUUGCAAGGUUUCUUCAGAACAUAUUUCCUGAUUAUUUAUGGUUGGAUCUGUCCAAGUGUAUAUGCCUUUUGGCUGCCUUUGUGUUACUGUUAGUAUGUGCUGCUCUUAACCUUUCAUCUUUUGGUUAAAUAUAAUCUGCAGCAAAACUUGGCCCGAACAGAUGAUGAUUCUUGGAAGGAGAGGGAAACUGCUGUUUUGUGUCUAGGCGCUAUAGCAGAGGGGUGCAUUAGUGGUCUAUACCCGCACCUUCCUCAGGUAAUUUUAAUGAGUAAUGGAUAAUUGUGGCUAUGUUCAUAUGCGCUGCAAGAAUAGUAGUCAAAUAUAUUUUCUUUUCUAUAAAUGAUUAAAUAUCUCAUUGUGGUAGAUGAGUAUGUGCUAAAUCUUCUUUAUACCACCAUAAAUGCUAGUAUUACAUUUUUUAUAUGCAGCUCUAUAGACUUAAUGCUUGAUUAUGGUACGAAUCCUCGAGAACAUAGCUAUAAGAUUGCUACAAUAUGUGGCGAUUUUAAAAUGCCUAUUGCAGGAGCAUUCUAUUGUUGCAAUCAUAGUAUUUACCAGAUAAAUCAAAACUCAAUAUUCGUUAUUAUUAUCACUCAACUAUUUUUAUUAGAUUUGUUGUCCUCUCUGCAAUUGUGGGUUAUUGUGAUUUUUCUUAUUCUCUAUACUGUACCACAAUGCAUCUUGCUGUAUAUGUUGUACGUUUUAUAAGAUAUCUUCAUUGAAAUGCAGAUUGUUGCCUUCCUAAUCCCCCUUCUUGAUGAUAAAUUUCCUCUUAUACGGAGUAUUACAUGCUGGACGCUCUCUCGAUACAGCAAAUUCAUUGUUCAGGUAACAUAGCACAUUUGUUCCCUGAUAUUAUUCUUAUUCCUUCCAUUCUAGGGUUUCAGCGGAAGCUCAUUACGUUCAAAUCAUGUUUUAGGAAUGUUGAGUUGACAUUUAUGCAUCAUCUUUGGAGAAGUGUCACUUUUGCAUUUUUAAAUUUGUACAUUAUGGUUCUUAGAGAACUGUAUAUUCUUGUCUCCGAUGCAGAGCCUUGAUCAUCCAAAUGGACGUGAACAAUUUGAUAAGAUUCUCAUGGGAUUGCUCAGAAGGAUAUUGGAUACUAACAAAAGAGUGCAAGAGGCUGCUUGUUCGGCGUUUGCUACUCUUGAAGAGGUUAUUGACAUAUUUUAGUAUCCUUUCCUGUUUUUAGGGAAUUGCGUAAGAAUUAUUAUUAUGCAUGCAAGUAACUUUGCAGAUCCUCAUCUGUACAUAUUGGUUCUCUGUUUUCAGGAAGCUUCCGAAGAAUUAGUACCCCACCUGGAAGUAAUUUUGCAGCACCUCAUGUGUGCCUAUGGAAAAUACCAGGUUCUUCGAAAUAUAAAUAAUCUUAUUUUGUCCUUGCACUGAUUGUUGUCAAGCACUUCUAUGUCAGCUCUCACAUUCUUAUUUCUAGUUUUAUGUGCUGCUUCUGAGCAGAGACGAAAUCUCCGGAUACUUUAUGACGCCCUUGGUACCCUGGCUGAUGCUGUUGGAGCAGAAUUAAAUCAGGUGCUAACAUUUUCUCAAACCUUUCACUGGUUUCUUCUGUAUAUCGUGAAAAAUCAUUUCGGUUCUUUCAGAGUCCAGACUCCUUGAUGCUUGAUCCCAUGUUCUCUUGUGAAGAUACUAAUUCUUCUAAGUUGCUGUGCAGGCGAAAUAUCUAGAUAUAUUUAUGCCACCUUUAAUCACGAAGUGGCAGCAACUUUCCAACUCUGACAAAGAUCUAUUUCCACUCCUUGAAUGCUUUACAUCUGUUGCACAGGUACUGUGGUUUUAAUAUGCGGAAACCAUCUAUGUAGUUCUUAUCUUACCUGGAAAUAAUCUAUUGCAACGGUUUGGAGUAGAGCUGCUUUUAGUUACCUAUUGUGGUUCGAAACUAGAAGAAUGUGAAUAAUUGGAAGACUUUCUACGGUUUUGGAUUUUUUUUUCCUGAGCUGUUCCUCAUACAAUAUUGGGAUUUCAAUGUUAUGUUGAAUCUUCAGGCAUUGGGACCAGGAUUUGCUCAGUUUGCGGAACCAGUGUUUCAAAGGUGCAUCAAUCUUAUCCAAUCGCAACAGUUGGCAAAGGUCUGUCUACUCUUUGCCUUCUAUAACAUAUUUGAAUUUGAGUCAUGUUCUCUGAAUCGCUCAUCUCAUCCAAGUAUGCUACUUUUUCAUGCAAAGUGCAGCGUCACAGUUAUUUGUUUUUUGUCAGACCUGAUCAGUGAUUUUUCCUUUUUCCUUUUUAUUUCAACCACAGUUCUAUUGUACAACCAUACUAGCACAAUGAUGUACUCACUGCUAAUACCAAAUUUCUAUAAAGAAUGAGACCAUCUAGUUGGUAACUAAAUGAUUGGUUAACAUUGACUGCUCAAUCUUGAUUAUCAUGUCAGAGACAUCAAAUUGGAGCUGUCCAAUCGUGCAAAACACACAUUAUUCUAGCUGUUUCACAGAAUUGGUGAAACUUAUAUUAUAUAAUAUGUCAUGGUUCAUGGAAGAAAUUAGAUGUUCACCUUAGUGGUUACGUGGCCUGUGAGCUGUUUCUAUGUAUUUCGGUCACUUGUAAGCACAGAAAUCGUCCUCCAACAUCGUAAUGUGCUUUCUGUGUACCAUGGAUCUUGGUCAUCUGAAAAAACAAUAAAUAUGAUAAGCUACAAGGUCAAAUCACAUAUAUGACUCAUACUUUCUUUUCCUUUAUGAUUUCCCUCCAAUGUGCAGAUUGAUCCUACUGCAGCUGGUGCAGUGUAUGAUAGAGAAUUCAUUGUUUGUUCGUUGGACCUACUGUCAGGACUUGCAGAAGGUCUUGGUGCUGGUAUUGAAAGUCUUGUAAGUUAUUCUCUUUGGAUAUGAUAUCCUUUUCCCUUCCAAGUACAUUUUAGACACGAUCACAUGAACACACCACUCACAUACCCACAUGGGUGCGUCAGGGGUAGGAUUAAAUUAUUUAGUCAUUGGGUUCAAUCAUACUAUCAUAUUGGGGCCAUGCUGUAAUAUGUACUUGGAGGAGGAAUUCGCUAUUCUUAAAGCAGAACUAUAGUGGAUUAAUCAAAAGUCAUCGGGGCCAGCUGGCUCUGAUGGAAGCACGUAGCUCCGCUCCCGGGGUCUGUCCUAGCGCACAUCUAAACUAGGGAGGGCUACCCAGAAUGGACCCACAUGCACACGCUGGGUCCUGAGGAAUGGUGAGCCCUAAGAUCUGAGUGCGCUCGAUCCUAAACAACUGACGACACUUGGUUCUCUUUCAGUAGCAUCCGUUGCUUUUGCUGUAUACACAUAAAUCUCUUUUAUUCAAUUUGAAUUUGAACUUGUUAAUGUCAGACAAUACAUUGAUUGUCCCAAUAUCUACUGUAUUGUUUACAGAAGUUAUCAGUUCUAUUACAUGGGGCUGUACCAUGUGUGCUGAGUAGAUUGUCAAGUUGGUAAUUUUGCUGGGUAGCUGAGUUUAGGCAUUUUGUCUAUUUAGCAUGUAUCCUGGAUGAAUGUUAGGUGUGACUCCUUAGGUUUGAGAUCUCACUUGUCACCAGGAUGGUUGGAUAUGCUUUUCUUUUCCAUCUGGAAAGAGUUAGUUCCACUUGUUAUGUUGGCUUUACUGAUUACUGUCAUAUAGCAAAGUUUGAGUUUAUUAAAACUAAGUGCUGAUGCUUGACCAUGAUGCUUUGUGCGGUAAUGAUAUUGGAUUAAAACCAGAGCACAAGUAUGAGAUCAAUUGUUUGUGAGAGUAAAUUGAGCCAAAAUUAUGUUUAGGGGGUUAAUUAUACAAAGUGGAUUGUUCAAGGUUGUAAAGUGGGCUUUUUUCAUCUAUCUAUACCUAGUAUCGUAUUAAAGUACGAUAAUUCCUCUCAAUCUGUCUAUCCGUCCCUUGGUCCGCCAUCUCUUUUACUUUUCUAGCCUUGAGUUUGGCCUUGCAAAGCCUUUGGCACACCAUCUCAUGGCCUGGCUGCCCGAGCCUGUGUGCGUUGUGGCACACCUAUGGGCAUGUGAUUCGCCUUUCACCUUUCUUAAACUCAGAGCAGGUGCACACAAUAGCCACCCAUUUAAGUUGAGCGCUGAACCUCCCUAGGGCCAGCAUAGUAUCCAUGCGCAAUUCUGUUCAGGUGAACAGUGCACGUGUGCUCCUGUUCACAAUGGGCUCAGGGUGGGUAUGUUUCUCAUUUGUUGGUUAGAGAUUAGAUUAGAUCAGAUUGCAUUGUUUAGUAUUUCCUUAAUCUAAGAGAGGUUUAUUAAAGGUCAAGUCUUCCCAUCUCAUUAAUUAAGCAAGAAAUAUAUUGAAGUUCCUAGUUAUCUCCAUGCCCUUAUGGUUGGUCACAGUAUUGGGGUUUAGAGCCAAGUAAAGUAUGGCCAUGACAUCUACACUUUUGUGAAGGGCAAUUACUGCUUUUCCUUUGUUUGCUGAUUAUACUUAAAAUUUUAGUACCAAAUAUGCAGAAGUUUUGAUGUGCCAUCUUUAUUUUGUUGUAGGUUGCACAGAGCAGUUUGAGAGAUCUACUUUUGCAAUGCUGCAUGGAUGAAGCAGCCGAUGUUCGACAAAGUGCCCUUGCCCUUCUUGGAGACCUUUCUAGGGUUGACUGCAUACCACCAUAGUUCAUAUUAUCUUGAGAUAAUUUUCACACUACAAAAAAAUUAACACUCUUUGCUGUACUAGGUUUGCCCAAUACAUUUGCAUCCACGGCUUCAAGAAUUUCUUACUGUUGCAGCAAAGCAACUGGUAAGCAUAUUCUGUGCGGUCUAUAUGUUGUUAUCAUAAUUAUCUUGAUCCAUUUCUCACUCAUAACUUUGCUGCAGAAUCCUCAGUCUGUGAAGGAUGCGGUAUCAGUAGCUAACAAUGCCUGUUGGGCUAUCGGAGAAUUAGCAAUCAAGGUUAGUGCCUACUUUUAUACAAUCUGGUUUAACUCAAUGCUGAAUUCUUUUGCAAUCCAUAAAAUACCUUUUUGUUUGUUUUGAUGCUGUUAAAGUUCAAACUGUUUGGCAUGGGUUUCCUCUUGGUAUAUGUCACUUAUAAAGUUGCAGUGCACCAGCCCCACCAGAGAGCUUAUUUCUUUGACAUAUCAGUACUGAUUGGUAUUUAUGAAGUUUCGUACACGUGUGACUGAUUUUAUUUGUUUCCAGAUUGGCAAAGAAAUUUCACCCGUGGUGAUCACUGUUGUUUCUUGCUUGGUUCCCAUUCUAAAAUCCCCAGAGGUGAGUGAUUUUUAAGGUUUCUUGCGUCACAGUUCAUUUAAGAAUUUAACUAAAUGGCUACUUUUUUUUUCCUCCACAUCCACAGGGUUUGAACAAGUCACUUAUUGAAAAUAGUGCGAUCACUCUUGGGAGGCUUAGCUGGGUCUGUCCAGACAUUGUGGCCCCUCAUAUGGAGCAUUUCAUGCAAGCAUGGUGCAGUGCCUUGUGCAUGUAGGUGUCCCUUUUCUUGAGUCUUUAAACACAUCCAAUGGGUUAGAGAAGGAAGGAUGGUUUUCAGGUGUUUCCUCUAUGGUUUGUUGCAUGAUGAAUGGAACUUGUUUCUUUGGUGUGAUCCAGGAUCAGAGACGAUUUUGAGAAAGAGGACGCUUUUCAUGGACUGUGUGCAAUGGUAUAUCCAGACCUCCUGGUUAUGGCUGCAUUCUUGCUAUCUGGGUGAUUUUCUUCUGAAAUCUUAUUUGGCUACACCAGGUGGCAGCAAACCCUACAGGAGCGGCUGGUUCAUUAGCUUACAUCUGUCAGGCCUGUGCAAGUUGGACUGUGAGUUGUGAUUCCUAUUAGAUCGAGGAGUUUCUUUGAGGUUCACCUAUAGCCCUAUUGAAUUCAAUGCACUCUCUUUUGAUUUGUGUACAGGAGAUAAAAAGUGAAGGUCUUCACAAUGAGGUGUGCCAGAUUCUGAAUGGCUACAAGCAGGUAAGCUGGCCUCUUUGCCCUCCUUUGCGUUUGCAUUAUGUGAUGACAAGGAUGAUAAAUUAACGGUGGUAAACUGUUUUCUUUUGUCUAGCUGCUUGGAAACGGUGGGUGGGAACAAUGCAUGGCCACCCUGCAACCAGAUGUUGUGCAGAAAUUAGCUAGAUACGGAGUAUGAUGGCAGUCGAGAAGCAAGCUCGUGUGGCUUAUUCACCUCAUAGGCCAUCUUUAUGGCGGAGACACAGAGAGGAGCAGAAAGGGAUAUGAGAAUGUCUGUCUGUCUGUGAGGGGUCGUCGAGAGUGUGGGCUGCUGAUGCAUCUUACAAAUGUGGCACUUGAGAAUCGAUUUGGUUCGUUGGGUGGUUUGUUGGUACCCCAUUGUAUACUGGUCAGCUAGUUGGUGCACAGCACAGCCCCAACGGGAGUGAGUGAGGUGGACAAGACAUAUAGUGGUAAAAAGGCAACGGGAUGGUGAGAAUGUUUGUCAAUCUGUAUUGGUUGGUUGGGUCAGUGGACUUGGUUUUGUUUUUGUCAUUCCACUGGCAAACAAACCCACCCUAUUGAGAAAACAGAAAGGUUUUGUAGCGUGUUAUUCUUUUUUAUUUUAUUUUAUUUUGGUUCAUUACUAGGUGUAGGAUCGUUUUCGAGUCUUGUUUGACAGGAAGGGUUUGUAUGAAAUCAAUUCAUUGCCCAAUAAUAAAAAGAUUGAUGGGGUUUGUUUCUCCUGCGACUGCACUGCGUUUCUCCCAUUGGUUUUUGCUAGUACUCCCUUUGUCUUGAAAUAAAUAAACGUAUUCGUGUGGAUCAAAUUUUUUAAAUUUGAUUAGUUUUUUUUAGAAAAUAUUAUUAAUAUUAAUAUAUCUGAUAAUACUAAUUAUAUAUCAUAAAAUACUAAUAUUUUAUUGUAUAUAUUUGGUUAAACUUAAAAGCGAUUGCUUAUUUUGGGAAGGAGGGAAUACAUUAUAAAUCGAUCAAUGUUGCUGUUUAAUUGGCAACAGCUUGAGUAUGAGGUUUGCUUGUUUCUCAGUUGGCAUGAACGUAUGUAUCGGAAAUGCGCUUGAGUUUUGUUACAAAGAUGCACAGACACAAAAACAAUGGCAGUGAGAGCAGAUGCCCUGGUGGCACUGCCACACGACGGCACGAAAACGGAAUGGAGGGCCUGGACUCACUGGGCCGAAUGGAAAUGAAAUCCCCCUCCCCCCCCCCCCCCGCAGAACCUUAUCGGCUUAUCACCCCCGUCGACUCGACUCCGAGCAGAGAGAGAGAGAGAGAAACAGAGAAGAAAGACAGGAUGCUGCUGCCGAGCUCCCCCUUCGUGUCCGUGUCCGUGUCGCCGUCGCCGCCGCAGUUCUCCUUCUCCCAGCCUUGCUAUGGCGCUCGCCCCGCGGCUCUGCGGAUCGAGGCGGCCAGGCAGCUGACGGGGCGGGUGGUGACGACCAAGGCGGACAAGACGGUGGGGGUGGAGGUGGUGCGCCUGGCGCCGCACCCCAAGUACAAGCGCCGGGAGCGCAUCAAGAAGAAGUACCAGGCGCACGACCCCGAUAACCAGUUCAAGGUCGGCGACGUCGUCGAGCUCCGCCCCUCCCGUCCCAUCUCCAAGACCAAGCACUUCCUCGCCAUCCCGCUCCCACCCCGCGACACCCGCCGCAAGUCCCAGCUCCUCCCGCCGCUCCAGUCCCAGUCCCAGGCCGGCGACGACGACGACCAGGCGCCGCCGCCCUCGCCCUCCUCCGAGUGAUUGAUUACUGCCGCCCGCCUAUGCAUUGGAUUGGAUUGGCUAGCUAGCUUAUUGUAAUGCCGUCGUAUCGUAUCAGCUCCUCUCCUCUCAAUCAAACGUCCAAUGCUUUGUUUAUUUGCUGCUUCCCAAUUCCAGUGCUCCUCCUAUUAUAUGAUCCAUGCCCAGAGAUGUCAACUUAGUUUGUCUGCAAAUUUUCUGUAAUACAAAGGAUUUCCUUUCAUUUUCAUUUCUUUGCAAUGCCAAGAUGGAUAUGUUCCGUUCCGCUUUAUCAGUCGUCUGGCGCUUUGAUGCUCGACGAACAAUGAGUCGAUUGUGUCAAAAGUUAUGAAACCUAAUGCAACCAUCACUCUUGGAAUUGUUUUUUUUAUCAAACAGUAAAACAUUUUUUUCCUAAAAAAAUUGUGUAUCAUAAUGAUUAAGAAAAAUAGUUUAACCGUAUGAACGAUACUCUUCGAAUGAUCGUGCUAGGUGAUGUUACAAAUAUGACUGGAUCUUUGAUAUUAUAUAGAUAGUAAAUAACUGAACUAAUAGUACCGUAACAACCUAGAGAGCUAGGCGUCUCUGCCGUUGGCUGCACGACACUCCUCCGCUAUCCAAGAAGAGCGCUCUUCUACAAAAGGAUUACUACUUAAUAUCGCUUAUAAACAACAUGUCAAAAGAUCUUUCAAUCGUUUCAGCACAAAACCAUUGGGCUCCAAUGACUCUUUCCCCCUCUUUCUUUGAUGCUCAACUUUCUCCUAUGUCUCUUCUCCUCUAUCCACGCUUCCUCUCCCCUCUCUCCAUACACCUCCCUUCUCGCCUCCCCUUUACCAAUUCUUCUAAUUCGCCUCUUCCUCUCCCCUCUCCUCCUCACCCUCCCACUCUUGGUUGAAACGAUGGAUCAACUAAGUAGACAACAACAUGGUCCCAUUUUAUGUAUAUUGCUUUGGAUGAUGACAUCCUUCACUAAGCGUGGCGGAUUUAAGUUGUUCGUGACGGCCAAUUAUGUCACUUAGUUUUUUUUGCCUCGAAGCUACAUGAGUGGUCUGUUUUACGGCUCCUGCUCAUAAAUUGGGCUUGCUGACUGGCACCUGUAGAAGGGUUUGGUAGAGGGGCCACGGUGUCUUUGAAAGUGGCAAACAUACAAAACAUGUGUUUAGCAGCUAGUGGUCCUAAGUAAUUCUAGAAAUUGUUGCAGCAAUCAAAAUAUCUAACAACCUAUUUGGAAGACUCUAAUCAACAAAAAAUAUGGUGGUAUUUCUAUUUUCUAAAAAAAUAGCUGUUGCAACAGAGGUUCUGAGCAUGUUAGAGAGGAAAAGGUUGAGUAGAGAAGGUUAAACCGUGUUGAGAGAUCCAAACUAGCGUUUGGGAGCAAGUGGAGAAGGUCAGACGGUGGAGAGAGAUUCAAACUAGAAUUUGGUCGCAAGCGCCAAUGAGUGUGUGUGUCAAAAUGGCAACGGGUACGUACCCAAUGGUACUAGCCACCCAUAUCCGCACCCACCAAGUCAAAACCUAUUCCAUCGGGUAACCCGCGAAAGCAGACGGGUAAGGAAUUCAUUCUAUACCCGCACCCGACGGGUAUUCCACACUAAAAAAUAUACCCGAGUUCAACAGAAAUAUAACAACUUUCAGCAAGUUAAAUAUCACAACUUUCAGGAAAUUAAACAUAACAACUUCCAGCAAAUUAAUAGCAGCACUAGUAGCACACCAGCCGCUCAAUACUUCCCACGUUUAGCGGUGCCUGGUGGAAAUUUCAUGGGUUAUAUGGGCUAAAUUACUUAGGCUUCUUACCCAUUUUGCAGAUAUUUCUUACCCACGGGUACGCGGGUAUGGGUACUACUAUUCCACACCCGUACCCGCCAUACCUGAUGGGUAAAGGAUUUCAUCCAAUAACGUACCCGCGGGUACAAAAUCCAUUCCAUACCCACGUCCUUACCGGGUAAAAGCCGUCGGAUACUCGGGUACCCGUUGCCAUCUCUCUGUGUGUGUGUGUGUGGGGGGGGGGGGGGGGUUGGGGGGGAGUUAUUUAGAGCAAAGAAUGAAUGUUCAAGUGGGUCUCCCAUUGCCUUCAUGCUCUUGGACACUUAUAUAGGCAAUGAUUAUGUGCAUGAGAUCUUUUGGUGGCGUUGAAUUUUUACAUAACACUACCCUAACUACUAGUUAAGCCUAAAAGAUUUGACCUAUAUACCUAGUGUGAUCCCCUAACAAUAGCUACCUUCCUCAUUAACAAUAGUCUGAAAAGUAACCCAAAAUAUCUAACUUACACCCCUCUAUCAUUAAUUGAAGUAACAUAAAAAGUAGCCUCUAAUAUUUAUCUAAAAUUACGCACAUAUGCUAUUAUGAAAAAGAUACAAAAUAACCACUUAAAUUGCAUCAAAACCGCCAAUACAAUAAAUUUGAAUUACCUACAUUAGUCACUAUAAAAAUUAAAAAAUACUCCAAAAUGUUAUUUUGGAUAUGCUUGAUCUUUCUUUUUAAAAAAAGGAACCUGCCCCAUGUAGCAUAUGCGAACUGCAUGGGGACAGUACUCAUUCAUGGAUGAGUUGGCGAGCUGCCCAGAAACAUAACGAAACAAUCAAGUAACAUGACAAAUCUUUCAUAGAUACAAGCAAAGAUGCCGCUAUUAUCUGGGAGCCUACUACAGUCAGUCUCAUUGAAUUUCACGUUCCGCAGUCAAGCACAGCGAGCAUGGUAUGCAUCAGUCUCAUUGAAUUUCACGUUCCGCAGUCAAGCACAGCGGGCAUGGUAUGCAUUCCAUAAUGCAAGCCGGCCCCUUCAACACCAGACUGCCACUUCAUCAAUGCAUAAGCUCAGGUCUCCUCCUGAUAGCUGCAUAGCAUAGGUUAACAAGACAUCUUAGCCACCACCCUAACAGUAACAAACUCUAAAACUGAUUAGUCCGUUCGCUUUCCCAGAACAUGCACUGCCGCUUUCAGCCAACGCUUCAUUUCGAAGCAGCUUUGCCUAGCCUCCCUGCAAAACGCAUUCAAAGGAAACUUGAGAAGAAAGCUCGCAGAAUGCAGCACGGAAUGAGCCUACGAUCAUCAUCAUCUCUCAAAAAGCAAGGUUUGGAGAGGGAGAACAUACUCGAAUGCUUUCUACCGCGGCAGUAUCUGCUUCCACACAAGCAUUCAAAUGAUUUGACAGGAUGCUUAUCACCAUCAAAAUCAAUACCAUAAUCCUGAAACCAAGAAUGUUCAGUACUAAGUGUUGUCCUGCUGAAGCCCCAGCCCCAAGUAUAACAUCCUAGGCUGAUCCAAUCAACUAAAGAGCAUUGCAUGAAAUAUGCGAAGAAGGAACAGUAGCAAUUAUGUAGUAUUGCAUGAAAAGAGCGAGAGAGACUAGCCUAUUUAGUAGUUACCCAAAAAAAGGUACUAAUUAUGUACUACAACAUUGAGCCAAAAUCGUUGCCAAUCUGUUUUGAUGCAUCCAGGUGGUAUAUUACAAACUAACAGAUCAGCCCAAAAAAACUAAACUUCACAGCACAAGAACCCUAAGUAAUUGAAGAAUGGACAUGAUGCAUGAAAAUUUUAGUAGAGUUACCAUUCGUAAAAACAAAAUUCAGCAAUGACACAGAAAAUAUGACCAACUAGAAGAAAUUUGGCAAUGGUCUGCAAUAAGGAUUAUAUAUUUCACUUUUGAGGGUUAGGGGUUUAGCAUUGCAACCACAUGAAGCAACCCUACAGGCUACAAAACCAUUGCCCACAGGAUAAACAUUAAUUAAAGAAGCCCUGAAUAAAAAAACAGCAAGCACUAAAAAUAUCCUUGAAGUGGCUGCAGUAAUUGAUUUUGAUCGUCGUAUUUGGUUAUUACAAAACCACAAGGCUUACCCACGUGAGCUCCUCAAAUGCCUCCACCUUCUUGGUUGUGAAAAAUGCAAACUGUACUUACAAAAAUAAAUAAAGAAAAAUUAUCAACAUGGCAUUCUUUCAUAGCUGACACAGACUCAUCAAAUUCGGAAGCUAAGAAUAACUUACAUGAUAAUAGUGAUGAUCUGGCGUCUCCACUUCAACAGGGAUCUCAACUAAAUUUGCAUCGUAGCAUCUAGGUAACGUAUUGUUAGAACCAGAAAGAAAAAUGAGGGGGGGUCAAUGGCUCAUAUUUGCUAUCAUUUAUCACAUUUAAAGUAACAUCACAAUGAACAGGUUGAGAAUAAUCAGACAACACCUGUGGUUGAUGAACCUCCCAACAUUCCCACAAAAUGUCGCAUCCAGGCAUAAAGCUUCUUCAUCCUUCAGCACCCCAUCAGGACCCCAACCAGCAUCUAAGAGCACUGAGUACCUAGCACUGUGCAUGUUUUGAGUAGUCAUUUCAUGUAGCUUCGUAUUUGUUAGCAACUCCCCAACAUAUUCACAGACAAAAGCUCCUUUUGGAAGUUCAUCAAGUGUGCGUAGCCCCCACCCCUUCCCUUCCCGUGUUGAAAACACCUUGGUAAAAAGAACAAGAAAGUUAUGGCAAUUCAACUAACCAGCACAAGUAUAACAUGGGGCUGCACUGCACAAGACAAUAAAGCGCACAUGCCACCCCAUUCCAAAAAAAGGGGGAAAACAAAAAAUAAAAGACAGCAUCAGAUAUUACCUGCAGAUUGCAUGUUAUACCACGUUGAACUACACGGUUACCACAUUCCAUGUUACAACCACAUUUACUCCAGCAUUCCUUGAUAAAUUUCCUAACAAUAUGGCCCCUGCAAAGCUCUGGUGAAGGCUCGUUCCUGAUCCUCUCAAGUGGGCAAGAUUUACAGAAGAACAUAUUAUGUUUUUCUGGAAAUCGGUUCAUAGAGACACACUUAUCAAGAAACUCUGUCCUAACCAAUCCAUCUGGUGUAUAUGCAAAUUCACCACCAGUUUUUCUUGCACAGGCACAUGGUUCAGGGGCAUACAAGCAGUUGCCAAAGCAAUCAGAACAACAAUCCUUGUCACCAAUUGUUUCAACAGAGUUAACAUAGGACUCUUGGGAAACAAGAUUUCUUGGUAUAUAAUAAAAGGAAGGUAAACAAUUCUCACUACCAAAUUCGUUUACCGCUGAUAUACUUGAUCUUUCUUGUCCCUUUGAUAUGUCAGAUAAAUCAUGGGUAGACCCAUUGGGAGAUAGUGCCAAAUGGGCCUGCUGAUCAGUAGUUGAAUUUGGUGGGCCAUUCUCUGAAGCUUCCAUAAUCAAUGAUUCUUCUACAGCUUUGCAUUUCCCGCUUCUGCUGUUCAUGCAAUCAAUUGGUUUCAAGGAUGGGGCAGUACUCGUUGUUGGCUUAUUCUGUGAGCUUCCAACAUUGCCAGAAGCAUCUGAUUGUUUAUUAUGUUCUGCAGUAUGAUCACUGCCUAGUUGUGCGACACACUGGCAUAUCUGCUUGAUGAGGCCAGCUAUGGAAAAAUCAGGUGGGAGACUCUUGUGUGAGCGAAGACAUUUUUCCUCAACCAUCUUGAAAACUGCUGCUAAAUCAGGCAUGUGGAAUUUUGAUGGGUCUAUGCUGCAUUUGAUUGACAUCUCAACCUCACCCAUAGCGGAUGAAGCUACAAUAGUGUGUAAACAAGGUGCUUCCUGAGUUUUUCCAGCUGCAGAUCCUGUCCCAGAAUUGUGCAUCACAGUUGCAUAGUCCAACCCAUUUCCCAGACUUUGAGGUUGCUUCAUCAUGCUAUUUAUAGGUUCAACAAAGGAAGUAGACGCCGCACUUCUUCUAUAAUGCUGGGCUGUCCUGCCAUUAGCACCUACACAAGGUUCAGCAGAGUCCAAUCAGAACAAAGGCGUUGGGCGCAGAAACCAAACAGCAAGAAAACACUAAUUCCACAAUCAGACUGAUUGACAAAAAAAAAGAAAAAGAAGAAGAAGAAGAAGUGAUCUUGCAACACAAUAAGACAGUAUAACAAACACUGGAGUUUUAUGGCCUACAAUAUAAGAAAUGUGAAAAACCUCCACAGCACAAAAACUUGAGCAAUAACAGAUUAGGAUGAUGUACGGAACCAACCUGAAAUCUGUAAUGGAGCAUGAACAGGUGGAGUAUCUGAGGUGCUGGCAUUGAGCAGAUGGGAAGUAAUGCAGCCAGGUUGGGCAUUCUGACAGCUGGAUGCAGGGGCAGUGCAUUGUAGAUCAUCAGUAUCAGGUUCAGGUUUAGGCUCCCUCAAGAAGACGGCAUGUUGGAAAUCUUCAUCCAUCAUCUGUAUUGCCCUCUUUUGUGCAGCAUUCCCCAGUGAAGGCACGCCAUCUGCGGUGGGCCGAUGAUAUCGGGUUGAGGCCCCGAUCUGUGGAUGGUUCAGCUCAGACGAAACACCUAUAGGUCCAUCUAGCGCUUGCGCCGCGGAGGCGUGAGACCUGGGAUCAAUAGAGCGACCUGCUGUGACACUAGUAGCGCUGAUCCUGGGCCUCUUGAUGCGAAGGGCCUCGGUCCCACUAUCCAAGUCGCAAGGACCGCCGUGGAUGGCACGGGAAGUAGAAGGCCGGGGCCGGCAGUCCUCCCCCUCCGGAGGAAGCCGAACCCCUCUUGUAGUGUUGCUGUAAUGCUCCUGGUCCCCAUCAUCCUGAACCCCAGCCGCAAGUGACGCGAUGGAAUCGCCAUAAUAAUUAGUAAGAAAUUAAACCCCAAAAAAAAAAGUCUUCUCCAUUCCAUUUGGAUUUGGGAAUGAAGAGUGGACGAAGGAGGAAUACCUGGGGGCGGUCGCGGGCUUCGAGGAUGGCGUUGGCGAGGGCGCGGUAGCCAUCGUCCUCGAUGAGCUCCCAGGAGUUGUCGAAGAGGUGGAGGAGGUUCUUGAGGACGGGGAUGACCUCCUUCUUGGAGCAGCCCAGAGGCUUCAUGGCGUCGAAGGCGCGGCGUGCCCGCUCCCUCCGACUCUGGGAAUCCAUCCGAGCCCUACCGAGAAACCCUACUCUGGUGGGGUAGGGUUUGAGGUGCUCAGUCCUGCAGCAGCCUGCCGGUGCCGCCGGGGGCGGGGGCGGGUGCCGGCGCCGCGGAAACAGAAGAGUGUCACUCGAAUCAGGAAGGGAAUGAUGAAAUCUCCAACUCAAAUAGGCUAGUUCGGUGUUCUUCACCAAAAGGGCGUGGGUUCAAAUUCCACUCUCAACAUAUUUAUUUUAUUUGCUAUAUACACACACAGUGCGUUCUGAAUUUUAAAGUUUAUAUUGCUACACAGUGUCUUCUGAAUUUUUAGGGUUUUUUUUUCCUAUUUUGGUAACACCAGAGUCUUCUGCGUUUAUAUUUUUUUUACACAGAACAACUUCCGUUCUUCUUUUUUUUUUCUAUUUUUUUGUAACAGUCUUCUGAGUUUAUGGUUUUUUAUUUUGGUAGCAGCCUUCUAAGUAUAUAUAUUCACAGAACAACUUCUAUUUUUCAGUUUUUUCCUAUUUUUGUGACACAUAGAUAGUAUUGUGAGUUUUUUUUUUUUACUUUUCUAUGUAAGAGCAACCAACUCUAACAUGGUGUUUGGUUGGUAGCGGUAUUUGAUUUGAUUUGAUUACAGUAGCAUUUGAUAACGUUUGGAUUGUGUUUGUUUUGCAUCUAUAGUAAACACGUCACGCAUGCCAUAAAGCGGUACGGCAUAGUAGAAAUCUAAUCUAUGGCAUCUCCGGGCAGCUGAUAGAAGCCAAGGCGGGCCUGUUGGCGUGGCCGACGAUUGCCCAUUGACCAAUGGCCAUGGUACUGGUACUGUAUAUGCAUGGCUGUCUGAAGAUGCUGCUAGCUGUGAGAUCCUGAAGAUCGUGCAAGGGCCGUCCGAGGAGAGGAGUCACGGCAUCAAGGAAGGGUCGUCAUUUGGAGGAAUAGGGAAUGGGAAUAGCGAUCGAGCGGCAUGCUGCUAUCUAUAGCUAGCGCUAGCGAGAUGUAUGGUGAAAUACAUCACUUCCUAUUUUGGCUCACCAGAUACAACAAACAUAGCACGUCGCCGGUCUCUAUUCGUGCCCGUCGAGCGCCUGGUAUACUGGUUCGCUUUGGUGGCGCUGUAGCCUCACUCACUCUCCAAUCCAUCUCAAGCUAGAAGCAUGCAUUACCCCUCCUGAGAAGCAGUAGAUGCACACGAGCAAGAUGAAUUCCUCUUUUUUUAGAAACCGGGUGAUCACCAGCUCCAUACGAUCGCUGGGUAAAAGAUUCGACUACAUGCAUAUAUACACAAACGGAAGGGGAUUCGUCAAAAGCUUCAACUUCAUUCUGAACAAUCGUUUCGUAGCUGCAAGGAUUACAACACCAAUUUAUCACCUUAGCACCCAUGACCAUCAGCCUGCCUACAGUUGCAAUACCAUUUGGACUUGCUGUGGCCUCAACCUAAUAAAUAUCAAACAACACAUGUGGCAAAUAAAUUUCCUCAAAAACUUGCAAGGAAUGGUACCAAACCAUGUAGUGAUCAGAGGACUUACUUAAAUAUACCAUAUCAUUCCAUCAGCGCCUGCAUUCAGGAGUAGCAUCAGCUUUUUCUUUCUCUCUAGUUAACUAUAUACUGUGACAAGAGUCCAAUCUGCAAGUUUGGCCCUCAUAUACCCUCUCCUCUUUUCCAUGCCCCCGAACCGUUUGGAUGGCUGGCUACAUGGAUCCAUAUCCCUCAGAUUCAGAUCAAAAGGUCUACCAUGUUCCUGCAGUACCCUUUUGAUGUAUACUAAACAACUUAGAUUACUUCCUGUCAUGACUUACUUUGAAAAAGGCCGAAUGCGUUACACUUUGUACAUUAAGCUCCAUGGUAUACAAAUACAUCCUCUAUGUUCAACGUGCAAGAAAUGUCACACUCGAUCACCCUAUCUCAAGAGAGCACUUCACCCAGGAGAGAGAAAGUUUUUAGCAUGGCCUCCAUAACUUCAAAUUUUCUCCAUGCAGAAUAGAAUAGAUCAAUCUGUGGUUUCUUCAACUUUGCUCAAUCCAUAUUCUUGGAUGCCUGCCUCAUCCAAUCUAUUUCCCAGCAGCCUCGUGAGAACUUACUGAGAAAGGAGCCAUAGUUAGCUUGUUAUCUUACAUUAAUACCUUAAAAUAGUGUUGCAGUUCAAGCCAAAGCAAAAAUUUGAAGUUAUGGAGAAAAUUAACAGCAUGAUAAUAGUAACACCACAGACAAACUCCUACAAGUACCACAAGUGACAGCUAAUUUAUAACAGAAUGUUGCCAAAGAUUUGCAAAUACCUUGAAAAAGAUGAAUGCAUACAGCAGCAAGUGUUUGAAUGAUUUUGCUGCUAUAAAUCAAGUUGAACCAUGAGGUGGGAAGACGAAAUUGGCCAACACAAGCUAGUGUUGAUGGAGGGCAUGAGCCCAGAUAUUUUGUGUGUAAGAAUAUCACACUUCCCCAAGAGCUAACUGCAGAACGUAAUACAUGAUAAGUUAUCCUUAUAAUGCACAGAACUUUAGCUAAACUUGGAGGACGAGAUACAAGAACAGCAUGCUUCUGGCUAACAAAGUAGCACUAGUAAGAUUUGAGCUCAUAGAUCACUAAAAUUGCAAAUGGACUGUAUACCUGCGUGGACUACAUGCAACUGCAAAGCUCACAAAUGUAUACAAGUAAACCGGUAUAAUGGAAAUGGAUAUUUAUGUGCAACCAUCUGAAUAUAUAUUUUUUUUAUAUAGGAAACAUUAAUCCUUUUCUUUUAUGUGUAAAAAGAGCUUAAAGUCUCAAGAGCUGGUGUACCAAACCUUAGUAGACUGAAACCAUGCUGCUGAACCACAUUCAUGUUUCAGUGUUCUGAAUGGACCACUCAUGGAAACCUCAGCUUUAAACUCUGUCCCGGACAAGUCAAGGUCAUGGAGUUCGAAGUGCUCACUUGCUUUCCCAUUAGGCAUAAACUUACCAUUUGGUACUCCAAAAACUUCAUGUAUAUCCUUUGCCUCACCUGCAUAGUUUCAAAAUUAUGAGUAUUAUGGGCACACAAACAAAUGGAAGGAGGUCAUGGUAUGCCCAAAACCAUAAACCACAAGGCACAAAUGUGGCUAGUGGUAAGCAAGCAGGUAGUGAACCUGGUUUUGUGGCCAUAAUAAAUCCAUCCAAUCUCUUAGUUAGUAACGAUGUUCCAGGAAACAACAUCAAGUUUACAUUAUGAAGUUGUUUCCUUUCAGCAUCUUCGAUAGGUUUGAAGCCAAAUCCUGACACCCAUGUGCUAACCAACUCUGGGAUGGCAGAAAGGACCAACAUCUUAACAUUAAAUGAACAGAGCAUCUGCAGUACAGGAAAUGAGGAAAUUCACAUAGUGAUAUGGAGAUAAAAGUUAUUAGCAGUAACAUAAAAAAUAAUAUUGGUUCAAUAAGAAAUCAGGCAUUAGCAAAGAAUGGAUCCGAUAGCUAGAUGGGAGGAAAAUCAUAUCUUAACAUUUACACACAGCUGAAUUCCAAGUUAAUGCAAUACGCGAUAAUGGGAAACCAUAACUUGUUUCAGUACUGCUGUACAGUUUUGUACUUUUGUCUGAUUUCCUAUUUCAGUGUACCUUUUCAAUGAUGUUCAUUAGAAUUCGGCACAUUCCUUGCCGUCGAUAGUCUACAGAAGUAGCAAUAAAAGGCAGCUCAGCGGCUUUAGUCCCAUGUACUCUGCAUGAGAAAAAAAAUAAAGAUUUAGUUAUAAACAAAAUUUUUCUCGAAUACACAAUGAAAAUGGAAGAAACAGAUAAUUAUUUUUUAUUAUUAUUGUUUAUGGUUCUCUCAUUAUGUUAUUCUAUACUAUAUGGAAUUCUUUUUGAAAGUAACAUGGCAUAUGCUGAAAAUAUGCAUGCUUUAGUUGUAAAAGAAUAUAGCACACAUAAAUUCAUUAAAAGAAAACUUCAGACAGAAAAGUAGGUUCAAUUUCUAACAAAGACCUGACUAAAAACAAUUUACCUGAUAGAAGCCACACAUAAAAUUUCAUCACCUUUCUCCAGGAUUACAGUAUAGAAUCCCUGAUAAUCCACACGAGCAAAGUUUGAUCUGAUAAGAAGUGAACCAUGUAAGUACAUCUUGAAAUUACUUAGUAAUAUAUAUAUAUAUAUAUAUAUAAAUAUAUAUAUAUAUAUACAAGUGCUAUUCUACACCCUAGGUGUAGAAUACUAUUCUACACCAAAUUGGCAAAUUAUAUACUGAACAAAAUUCAGUAUCGUUCAGUACUUAUGUUUCAGUAUUUGUUCAGUAUUUUAUGGUCUUUGGUGUAGUAGUAAGUGAUACUGAACGCGGUUCAGUAGUACUCAGUAUUUUUUCUGCUCAGUUUUGACUUGCGGUGUAGAAUAAUAUUCUACACCUAGGGUGUAGAAUAGCACUACCGUAGGUGUAGAAUAUUAUUCUACACCGCAAGUCAAAACUGAGCAGAAAAAAUACUGAGCAAUACUGAACAACGUUCAGUAUCAUCCAGUCUUACACCCAGGAUCACGAAAUACUGAAUAAUACUGAAACACGGGUACUGAACAAUAUUGAAUUUUGUUCAGUAUAACACUUUGGUGUAGAAUAGUAUUCUACACCUAGGGUGUAGAAUAGCACUUAUAUAUAUAUAUUCAUACAUUUUCAAGUUUCUUCUAUAAUAUCAAAGAGAGAACCCUAUAUGAAUUGAAGUAGAUUUGAAAAGAAAGGGUAUAAUAAAACUAGUUAAGCAUCCAGCUGAUUAACAGAACAUCCCAAAGAUUGUAUCUUCUGUAUUUAGCAUAACAGCAAUUUUGUCAGUUCAACUUUCCAGUAAAACAUAAAGAGAUCAAUCCCCAUAGUACCAUUGUUCAUUCUUAGACACACACACAAACAUGUAUCAUUUUGACUUGUGCUUCGACAAAUCAGACCAGAAAAAUAUAAAGUGAAAAAGAAUAUGUAAUGAAAUAAUGGAUAAAUUAAAAUCCUAAGGAUAAGGAAUGAAGGAAACUUACCCCUUGUUGUAUAAAACAUGGGGUAUCAUGUCCACACCAGUUCUAGGAUCCACCAUACGAAUGAAACAUUCCUCUAAUAGAGUAAGAGCCACUGCUAAUUUCAUAUUACAUUCUGCCAGACAGGCAAUCUUCUGAACAGAGUGUAGCUUCUGCCCGUCAUUGUUGCAUCUCAAUAUGGACCAUGAAAGCUCACUGUCAAGAAUAUUCUCUGUCCCGACAUGACUACGCAACCCUAUGAAUAUCUAUUAGCAGCAAGGGUAGAAAAACACAUUAAUAGGAAAGAAAGAGAAGAAUGAGGAAAAAAAUUAUUUGGAACCAGGACACAGAGUAUGUUAGGUGCACAAAGCAGUAGUUAACAUAAAUGUUGUCUAGUGCUGCAUGGAGUGCUGAUUGCUUCUAACCUAAAUAGCCAUAAAUAGUGACAUCCAAUUUUGAGGAUUGAAAAAACUAGCGAUCCAAGAGGUUAACCAAAUUUAAUCUCGGAAGGUUUGAUUUUGUGAACCACGCAGUGUAGAUGUACUAGUAUCAGGUGGUCACUGGUGCUAGAUCCUAAGCAUUCAAACAUAUGAAUCCAUUAUAUCUAUGAGACUAUGACGAGGAAUGAGGGUGACGCAAAUUACAAUUUCUGCAGGUAUGAUAAAAACACAAAUGGACAAUGUUCACUAAAGCAUCUUGCAACUUUCAACAUCAUCUCAACAAACUAAGUUAAAUAAGUGUUACCUCUUUACAAUAUUUCCCACAAAACCAUGUCUGAGAUAUUUGAUCCUCAAGAGGUAGCUUCUCUUGUUCAAUGCAAGUGUCAUGGUCUGCCAAUGGAAACAAAACUAUUCAAAUUGAAGUUACAGAUAAGAACAUUGGAAUAAUUUAUCUUCUGCAAUGCAUAAUCAAGAACUGAAGAGUGGCUAAGUUAAAUAAGGCAUGAUUAAACCACUCUAUGGAUUUUAUCAUUUUAUUCCUGGGCCUUGCAAGAAAUUAUGGUUCAGCUCAAAGCUGCUAGAAGCUUGAUAGGAAGUCAAUAGAGCACAGCUAGAGGGGAUCUUAUUUGAAGCAUAAGCUCUUUUACACUGAAAAUUUGAAGCCUCCUUGAAGCAGUUCCUGUGAGAGUUGAAAAAUCAAAUUCUAGAAGGAGCUACAUUUUUACCAAAUGGGGCUUUUUAGAUCAAAACAAGCUAAUGAAAUUGCUUCAUAAAUGAAAUAAUGACUAUUGAAGUUAGGCAGCAAAGUUAACAUAAACUAACCCACCAACUUUCUGCUAUGGCACUGCUAAGCAUCAUAAGGCAAUAGCACAGUAGGGGAAAUGGUGAAAAUUUCAAGAAAAAGUGGAGGGAAGAUAAGGUUUUACAUGCAUCUCCGCAUUGGAAACAUUUGAAAAUAGCCGAGAAUGUCGAAACCUCCUUUUCACUAACUGGUCCUCCACAUAUCUGACAAGUGCAAUUAUGACAGUACCAACUACCUUCUGGAAGCUCCUGCAUAUGUAAAGGAAUAAGCAAAAUUAAUUAAGUAGGAAACAAUUUCACAUAUAGAAUAAGUAUUGAUUCAUUUAAUAUCAUAUCAACUAUCAAGCUAUUGACACACAUUCUGGAACAAAGCAUUGCAACGUUAAGGACAGCAACCUCAGAAUGAAAUGUAUCUUUAAGCAAUGUACACAUAACGGCACCAUGAAAAACUGGAUAAUAGAUACCUUAGCAGACAAGCAAGCUGGAUGAUAUGUUGAUGGGCAAUUGUCACAGCAAAGUAAUUCACCACCAUCUCCACAGAAACCACAGGUGUCAUCACUUUCAUCUAUUGCCUCAACUUUUCUACCCCAUGCAUUGCUUCUCCUGCUCAUAAAUUCAGCAGACCAAGCCUCAACCUGGCACAAGGUGUAUGACUUGCCAGACUCUAGAAAGAGGCCCAAUGAGGACUGUGGGUGACUAAAACCAGCAUGAGCCAUAAAACCAGACACAGAUAAGGUUUUUUUGCAGCAAUUGCAAACAACACCUUCCCAGGUAACCAGCCCAUCCUUUAUAACUUCAUUACUUUUUGGAUCCCGGUACUGUAUCACAUCUUUUACGGUCAGAAAGCCAGUCGCAAGCAACCAGCAGAUUACAGUUUUGCGGGCCAAACUUACUCUCUUUCCACCCAAUAGGUUUGUGCCAGCUUUCCCGAUUUUGGAAAUUAGCUUGUUGCCUUUUUUGUGGCUCUUCAGCUUCUUGAACUUCUUUGCAGCUGAAAAGCCUGAAGCAAAUUUAUGGCAGGUGCCAAGAUCCUUGUUUUUCACUAUAGCUGUGAUCAAAAGGUCCUCAUCAUUGAUCCGCAACUCACGAGGUCUUUUCUUCAUGUACUUCAACCAACCCUUUGGUUUCAUUUUGGCAGUGCCUCUCUUGCAGAUUUGUGAGUCACAUGCUAGAUAAGUUCCCAGAACAUCAGCACUAGAUUCAUGGGAUAACUCAACGGGUACAGUAUUUCCUGUUGGAUCACUUUGUGAAUCCUCAUAAAAUUCUCCAUGGGAUGGGAGUAUCUUUUUCCAGACCUUGUCAUCAUGGCAGAACGCUGUGGCAUCUGACUGUGACUCCCUUGUAGUACAGUGAGUUUCUGGGAAUGUAUUGUAAUCCUUAAGUUGCUUGCUCACUGAAGAGAGGAGCAUGUCACACUUCCUGCCUUGGUCAUCUUUAUCUAGCUUUUCUGAUUUUGUUUCAGCUUUCAUAUCGUCUUUUAGUGUUCCAAAACCUGAACACAUACCGUGUUCCUCAAAGGCAUUGGUGUUUCCUGGGUCAGCCAUGUCCAUGGUUGCUACAUUGGUCCCAUCCAGUCCAGCUGAGCUAAUAUCAAAUGUUUUUUUCGAUUUCUUCCUUGACUUUUUUACAGAGCUAUUAAGAGCAUUUGGUUGAGCACAAGUUUGCCGUCCAUCAUCACUUGCAUCAAUGUGAUGUUUCGUCUGGUCACUUGCAUCAAUGUGAUGUUUUGUCUGGUCAGUUGCAUUGUAAUUCAGACUCUCGUUGCAGGAAAGCUUUGGGUUCGUAUCCCUAUCGUUGCUGUCUUCCACAUCAUGACAGCUUUGUAAAGACUGAUGCCCAUUGUAGCUCUCAGUUGCAAGUGUGCUGCAAUCAGAGUCUGUGAUCAGUGGAGUCAGCUGAAUCAUUCGGCUUGCCAAAAGCUCACUGGCUUUGUGCAUGGUCUUACUUUCCAAUGACAUAUCUGAGCUGCCAUCAAGAACAAAGGUUGAACUGUCGACAGCUCUCAGAGUUUUAUGUUGCUGCAGAGCAGUGAUUUUCCUACUGAUGAACACAACAGCUACAAAAGGAUCCAAAAUCUGCCAGCGCUGCAGAAGCGUGAGUGCAUUUUGCUGGUUCGCAAGCAUCCUAUCAACAUAGGCCAUUGUAUCUGUGAGAUCCUUCCAAAACGCAUCAACAUCUGACCACUCCUUUGGAUACUUUCCCCUUUCUGAAUCUGGGGAAGCUUCAUAUAAUUUGUUGCCACAAAACUUCCAAGCCUGGGUUAGUGAGGUAUGAACCGCUUCCCUGUUUGGAGCUGUGAAAUAGGAUGCCAUCUUAGCCCUGUCAUUCCUUUUACGUGGCUUAAUAGUCCAUCCAGAAUCCUUAAAAAGACGAUGUGCAUGUGCUUCCAGCUGGUCAGGAAUAUCCCUGCCCAGUGCCUUCUUGGAAACAGCAGCUGCCGAGCCAGAGUGUACUGCGCUGCCGCUUCCAUGAACAUCAAUUUCAUCCAGGCAACUAAUAUUCGCAUCAGGGGUGCCAUUCUGGCAAAUGGUGCCAUCGAGCUGGGUGAACUGACCAGGGCUGAACCAAAACUGGGACUGCUGAGGUAUUGUCGGAGUACUAUGAGCUUCUUCACUAUAAAACAGAUGCUGCUCUACUCCCCCUCUGUCAGAGAAAUCCUUUGUACUUGCACAUAGGGGAUAAGUGGUGUCAUCCAUCUGGCCUUGAUCAUAAGCGAAGCACGCAUUGCUAGGGAAUUGCUGCUGAUCCUGGAGCCACUGAUGCAAAAAGGGAUCUGAAAGGAGAGUGGAACUCUGGAAUUCAGAAAUCUCCGCUAGCGCUUCUAUGUAGGAAGGCAUGGGGUCAUCGACCGCGCUAGUGCUGCUGCUGCAACCCAGCCCGAGUGUGUUGCACAUCCCAGCCCCAACAUCUUGCGUGUGCACAUCCAAAAUGCUGUGAGCAGCAUCUGAGCCGAUGAAUUGGUUUUGGUCAUCUGAGAGGCCGAAUUGGUGUUGGUCAUCGGAGAGGCCGAGCGGAUGAGUGGCACACUUAUCCCCAGGCUGCCAGGAACCCAUGAAUCCCUGCAGAAAGGCAGCAGCGUCCAGGUCGGUCCCGUUUUGCUGCGCACGAGGGUGCGCGUGCUCCUGAACCUGGAGAUGAAGGUCGUGGUGAGGCCCAUUGUUUGGCUGACGACUAUGAUCCAUUGUAUGGUGUGGAUCAGCAGUGGCAGCGGCAGGCUGGUGCUGCGCAUGGGAGGGAAAGGGAAAGGGAAAGGUCGAGGUCUCCGUGGGCUUGAGGUGGGCGGCGGCGGUGUGGACGAAUCCAAGGUCCAUCUCGGCGGGCAGAUGGGUGGUGGCGGCGGCACCGCAGAAGACCUCCUUGAAAACCUGAAGCUCCAAGAGCGAUCUGUCGAAGGCGCCGUGGUCCUCCAUUCCCAUGAUGUCCUCGCCGAAGAUGAAGCGCAUGGCGUCGUCCUCCUUGAAGCCCAGCAUGUCGUCGGCGUGGCCUCCCCCGGCGGCCAUGCUAGUGGCUAGCAGCAGCUGUGAGCCUGCAGAGUUGAAUUGGAGAGCGGAGUGAGCAGCUAAAGCUUGGUCGGUGAUCCCCCCGCGGGGGAAGAAGAAGAAGAGUGUGAGAUCCAGCCAUUCCAGUACCUGAGCCUGAACGAAAUGGGCGGUCGACGGUCGGGUCGGGGAGGCAGCGGGAGCAGGAGCGGAAUGGGGCGGUCGGAUCCAGAUGGGCAGCAGCUGAGUCUCGAGUGGCCUGUGCUGGAUGGAGAGAAUCGUGGUGGGGAGGAGGAGCGGGGCGGAGCAAAUCGGGGGCGAGAUCCGAGGCGAAGAGGGGAAGCGGCCUGCUGCCCUCUGCCUUCCUGUCAAGGUUUGGGCGCCCCGCCCCGGCGAGACCGAGGAGAAGAGAGGGCCGGGGACGGCGGCUUGGCUUGGCGCCGGCGCGGGGCGGGCGUGUGGGUGGAAGUGAAGCAGAAGCAACGGCGGCCCGCAGUGAAGUGAAGCUCGGGAGGUCAAGACUCGAGAGAGAGCUCGCCUUCGCUUGCCUUCCCUUCCCUUCCCUUCCCUUCCCUAGGCAAGGCUGCAAGUUGCGUUUGUUCCGUGAUGAGUGAAGCCGAUGAUGCGAUGCGUUGACAGGCAGCGGCAGGACACACAUGACAUUUUUUUAAUUAAAAAAAAACGCCAAAGGGGGGCGCGGCAUCUGGCCCUCCUGCUCGUUUGAAUCAUUUUGCCUCCAAAACCAAACACCCAAAUACAACGCUGCCGCUGCCAUAGGCCAGAGCAAGACGAGUUUAUGCAUGCAUGCAUACUCGAUUUGUCCUUUUCUUUUAUCAUCAAUCCAGGAGAAGACUAUAUGGCUUCAAUUUUUCUUUUAUCUGUUCGCUUGAGUUUACUUAUCGAAUAUGUUAGUUAUUCAGCAUUGUUUUUUCACAAUAGAUCAACAAAUAGUACUUUCAGCCAUAACUUUUCAACGAAGCAUCCAAGCGAAUGUCAAUACUAAUUAAGGCUCCAUUUGAUUUGAUCAGCUAUUUUUUAUAAACUAGAACAAUGGCUGAAGUAGUAUAAGUUUGGUGGUUUAUAUAAUAAUAGUUUAAAAUACUCAAUCUAUUUUAAAUUGCAAGAUGUUUUAACUUCUCUUGUUACAUAGGUUUUGUCAUACCACCGUUCGCUUAUCUUAUCAGCCAUACUUUUUCUGCCAGCCAACAGUGUUUUUCUCUUACGAUAAAUCAGCAAAUAAUGUUUUUAGUCAUGACUUUUUAGACCAGCGAACAGGUUUAGAAUGGAGGGAAUAGGUUAUAGGCUGAAAUAUAAGGUAAGAUGUUGGAAUUAGCUAGAGCCUUUUUAGCCGUUAGCAAUUUAUGAAAAAAACUUAUUUUAGUCGGUACAUAUAUCUAUUACCUAUUUAUAAAAGGAGAAAAUUUCAGUUUGCCAAUUCUUUUUCUGCCUCCCUAUCCGAUGUCCGCUUCCGGUACUUGUAGAGGAGAAAAAAAAAAGAAUAGAAACUUUUCUAGGUUCCCAAUACAAAAUCUCCUACACACUAGAGUAUAUUAAAAAUAAAGAAAGUACAGGGGGUCUAAGUGCAAAUUUAUCAGCCAAUCUAACCAGCCGCAUCAGCCCGUACAUAGACUUCUAGAAGAGGAAGAAAAAAGAAUAGAAAUUUUUCUAGGGUUCCUAAUGCAAAAUCUCCUAUAAAAAUUAAUAAAUAUAUAGUAAUUCAUAGAAAAAUCUAAAAAUUACAAAACAAAUUUUUUUCAGCUCCACAUAUUUAGAUCCAUAUAGUAAACAAAAAUAUCACAAAUUUUAGUAUACUUUUUUUUGCUGGUAGAUGCUUGCCUAUGUUUUUUAGUAUAUAAAACUAAAAUUGUAGUUAUCUUGCUCUAAUUAUUAUGAAAAUUUUAUAAUAGUCUAUUUAAUGUGAUACUUGAUUUGUGGUAAAAGUUUUAACACAAUUCCUUUAUAUCUCACUGAUUUACUAAUUUAACUAAAUUAAUGCUUGAGGAUGCUUCCACUACCUUUGCAUGGUGUGCUGUUAUGUCAUAUGAACACUUUAUAAGUCCAUGUUUUUAUAAUCUACAUACAUUUAACCCAUGUGUUUAUAAUCUACAUACAUUUAACUGAUAUAUCAUAUUUUAUAGAAAUCCUAAUCUAAAUAAAAAAAUAAAGCUACCAACAAACUUCUCAUGUUUUAAUAUAAUAUUAAGAUAUAUUAAGAGGUAAUAUUAAAGUAAGAGAAGGUUUGACUAAUUUCUAUUUUUUAUUAUUAAAUAAAUAUGUCUCCAAGCUACAUAUUAUUUUAAAUAUUAACUAUCUAAUAUUAUAGAUGUCAUGGUUAUCAAUAAAAUAAAUUAUGGACUUUAAAUUUCAUAAAAACAUAACUAUAAAUAGAAUGUAAUAUUAUGUCAUAACUUUCUAUGGUCAUUUGAUGCUUUUCUCCGGUUGCAACGCACAAUAAAAAUCAAUCUCAAAAUUUACAUAGACUUCAGCUUACUAAUAAAAGGUAUAUUGUUAGCUUCUUGUCUUUUCACGAACAAUGCACAAAUUGACAGAAACUUAUACAAUCUAUAUAAAAUCAAAAUCAAAUCUACAAAUUAUAAUUCAAAAGUUUAUUAGGAUCCUUUCAACCAGAGAGUAUAAGGUGCCAUUGCGCGUGAAAUAAAAAUCCUAAAAAGUCUAAGAGCAUGUAUAUAAACUAUAUAUAUGGACAGUCUCCUUCAAAGUCAGUUUUAAAAGCUUAAAAAUUAUCAAAUUUAAUACAAAGGAUAAAACAUAAAUAAAUAUAACAAAGUGCUCAUUUUCUACAAUUAUCAAUUUGCUCCCGUAGCAACGCACGGGCAUAUUUUGCUAGUAUAUAACCUAAGCCUAGACGGCGUCAAUAUACGCGUUGUCAACUAUUACUAAGACACCCCAUCCAAAUGGGGAAGAAAAUACUACACAAGAACAGGUACUAGUGUCACGGUAAUGCUUGUUAAAAGAAAAAAUUGGCCUUCAAAUGCCGUUAUUUAUUAUUCAUUAACGAGUAUGAAUCUACAGUUUGAUGCUUUCUAGGGUUCUUACGGUUUGAUACUUGUCCGGGCCUAAUAAUAAACAAACUCCUAGUCCUAGAAAAAGGAAUUAACGCAAGUUAAAAAAAAGGAAUUAACGCAUGGGAAGCCCAAUGGGUGUAUGGAUGGUGCAGCCCAGCGGAAUUAGAAAAUUUGCUCGCGAAGCGCGAGAGAAAGGCCUGCUAGAUUGGGCCCAGCGUUAUCACAGUGGGCCGGAUUUUGGAUUUAGGCAGGCCGUGGGUGGGGCUUUGCUUUGGGAAUUUUUCACAGGCAGCGAGGGAGCGAGUCUAGCCAAAAAAAAAAAAAAAUCUACUUUUUCUCUCCCAACUUUAACGAAAGUCCGUUUUUUCUCUCUCUAUUUUAAAACCAGACAAACUACCUCCCUUGACUUUUCAAAUCAUGCAUUUUACCUCCCUGAAACGGUUUCGAAGGCAGUUGCUACAGUGAAUAAUGGUUUUAUCUUUUUAUUUUUUUAAUUAUUUCGGUUGGAUCUUUGAAAAAUCAUAGUAAAUAAAAAAACAUAAAAUAGAAAAUCUAAUUUUGUUGAACUCUACAUAAGUAUAUCUACACAAUGAAUAUAUAAUAUGAUAUGCUUUAUUACAAAAUUUUUGCUAUAAAGGUUUUGUAUUUUCCUUUUUUAUUUAUUUCGGCUAAAUAUUGAAAAAUUAUAGUAAAUUACAGAAAAAUCAUAAAAUAUAAAAUCUAAUUUUGUUAGACUCCACAUGAGCAUAUGUACAUAGUAAAUAUAUAAUAUGGUAUAUUAGUAUAUAUUAGUAUAUAAAAUCUAAUUUUGUGUAAAUUAUAUAGAUAAUGACAAUUGUCGUUAUACCGACCGAUUCACAAAUUGUUGUUAUAUUAGUAUAUCUAUAACGAUACACAUAUGACGUUAUAUUUAACGACACUUGCACCGUCAGUCAGCUAUACCGACCAAUAGUUCAAUGGUAUUAGUAUAUCUAUAACGACACACAUGUGACGCUACACUAGUGUUGUAGUGUAGUGUUAUGGGAGAUAAAUGUGACUUUUUGUGAUAGUUGGGGAAUGUAAAGUGGACCUUUUCUAUUUAUUAUUUUUAUUCUAUCUACUUGCUGAUUACUGAGGCCGUCCCUAACGAGCUGACAAUGUCACCGGCUAACGUCAACAUGCCGUCCAUGCGUGAUGCGUCUUAGAUGAAGAUGCUACCAAAAAUCGACUCGCUAGCGAUCGAGAAAUCGCUAGACUCAGUCGCUUUCCAAAAUGCUUAAGGUCCCAGCUCUUCCAAACAUGCUAAAACCCACAAAGUGCUACAAGCUUUUUGAUUUUUUUACCCUUUCUCAGCGCCACGUCAGCCAAUGAUUUCUUUGACCCGUUCCGGACGUGCAGCUUGGUGCUUACAUAAGAGCCAAGCUAUCAUCUCUCUCAUCUCUUCUCUCCUCCACAUCAGCAUUAGCUUUGUUAUAAGCUUAUUAUUGUACCUGCUCUCAUGAGUCCUGAGGGGCAGGUAGCCCUAGGCCUUGUUUAGUUCACACCA
This 51065-nucleotide long non-coding RNA is filed under the name Sorghum bicolor (sorghum). RNAcentral's name for it is "long non-coding RNA (SBIC_LNC011516)". Lineage: Eukaryota; Viridiplantae; Streptophyta; Magnoliopsida; Poales; Poaceae. The record is from RNAcentral.